UGAAAUAGGGUGUUCGUAUAUAUGAAAAUCUUUGAAGAACGAAGCAAUCAUGUUUAAAUAAAUCAUUGUUCAAGUCUAGUCUCCAAAGUAUACACUCGACUAGUCUUGAAGCAGGGAACAUUUGUAGUCAUCGUAAUUUUAUUCAAAUUAAAUUUAAAAUAUAUUAGUCCAAAUAAAAUGUGAUGGAUUAAUAUGAUUGGAUGAAUUAUUUAAAUUUAAAUAAAUAUAAAUUUUAUUAAAGUCUAAUUUCUGUUGGGCUAAUUCGUUGAUUUGGACUGCAAAUAAUGAGCUCAAUUUGCUAAGUCCAAUAUGUCAUCAUAUUUUAGAGGCCCAAAUGAGUGCCACGUUUCAAAUGACGUGGUAUGUCAAGUCAAGUAAGGAGACAAUAGGACCAUGCCACAUGUCAAAAUGAUGCAACAUGCCUAGUGAAAUCAGAGGCCCAAUCAAAUGUCAUCAUUUCACUUAAAUCUGAUUGGCCAAAAGAAGUCAAUCUUCACCAUGACUCUUUCUUUCCUACAACUAUAAAUAGGGGUUCCAUAAUGUAAGACCCUUAAAAUUUUAAUCAUUUUAUUUUUAAUCCUACCGUGUUCGUAAUAUCGAUUUUUGACUUGAAUUAUAUUUAGGGAUGUUAAAAGGGUAAUUUGAAAAAGUUUUGAAAUUUUCUAAAAACGUUCAUGGCUAUUUUAAAAUUUUGAGGCAGUGUCCCUUGGAGAUAUCAUCGUGCUACGGAGAUUAACCUCUGCGACAUUGGUGUGGCACGGAGGAUAACCUCCGCGAUAAGGUCAUGCCAUGCUGAUACUAAAUUUCAUCCAGCUUUAUUUUUUUCACUUAGGGGUGAGGGGUUUUUUUAUCUUUUCACCCUUUCCACAACUUAUAAACAUAAAAGGAAUCUUUUUUAUUCUGUUUUCAAAGAUCAAACUCUACUUAAUUCAUCUUUACCUCUCCAAUCAAUAAAACUUAAGGGUUUCAUAGAUAAUUCAUCAUCCGGGCUCCAAACUUCAAAUUGACUUCAAAUUCAUGUGUGUUUCAAGCAUGUUUCUCUUUCCUAAACUUAAAUUUUAUAUUAGGGGAAUUGAUUUAAUGGAUUUUCAUGUGAUUUAAAUUGUGGGUUUUGAAAUUGGAUUGAAGGGUUUUGGUUGUUACCAAUUGAAUUACUUGUCCCAUGUUUGGAAUUGAUUACGCAUGCUUUAAAUUGAUGUUUUUGAGACUAAAUUGGUAUAUUAUUCAAGUGGCUGAAAUGGGGGACAUGAGUUUCUCCAAAUUGGAUGAAUUUUGGCUCGAAAUUGCAUGAACCUCAACCCACUUUGUGAAUUUAAUUUUAUUAUGAAAAAUUACAUGGUUUAGCUUUCUUUUGAACCCAAUGCAUUGCAUUAAUGAAUUAAUGGAUAUAAAAAUGGUCUUAGUGGCCACAGUUUGGAUUUUAAUGGAACUUGUGAGUCCAAUUUGGUUAUGUAAAUUAAUUUGGCAUGAUUAAUUUAGAUUGCAAGCAUAUUGGUAUGACGAUACCAAGUGGUAAAUGCCUUAAUGAAUGACUCUCAGAUUAAUGGUUUGAAUUAUGUGCCAAAGGGUUUAAAUUUGAGCAUAAAGGGGGUUGUGUAGCUUGUCGUGAAGGUGGAGGUCCCGAGAGAACCAAUAUCGGAUAUCAUGUUUCCUGGCGUCGGGGUCUUUAUGACCGUGUGCAUAGUUCAUACAUUAUAUAUAUAUAUAUAUAUAGGAAUGGUUGAAGCAUCGCUUGCUCUGGCCCUUCCUCGAAUUUUCCUGGUUCGUGCGACUAACAUACGCUGGGAUCCUUUCAGUAGGGGGAGCUGAACCCAUAUAGCCCGUGGGUGCCCUUAAGACGGAUAAAGAUACACAAUCCAUAUUAAUAAUUUUAAACUCUCACGUUCAUGACCCUUACCCUAUCCCAACAUUCUAUAUAUUAGUUUAACUGCACUUGCCUCACACGUGUAAUAUUUAAUAUUUAAAAUUAAAUGAUUUUACCUAUUGCGCAGACUUUUAAUAAAGUGUGAAAGUUCAAAUCACUUUUAAAAAAGCUUUCAUACUUUAAUAUAAUAAUCCAUUAGAAGUUUCAAGUAGUUGAUGGAUCAUUACUUUUGUGUUUGUCAUAUAGUGCAUCUUUCCAUUGUUCCGAUGGAUCAAGAUGCAUCAAUUUCAAUCAUAUUUGUGUUAUGGUCAUAUUUUAUAUAUAUGUUUAAAAUCUUUUCUUAAUUUUAAAGUCAAAUCUUUAUAAUUAUUGAUUACAUUCUUAUUACGUACUUAAAACUUUUUAAAAUCUUGGACUUCUUAAAUUUUUUUUAUUCUAAUAGUUUUAUAUUUAUUUCUAGAUUUUUCAAAUCUUUUUAAAAUCAAAUUUAGUUGAUUUAGAAUUCUUAAACUAAUGGAAAAAGUAUUAGUUGUUAUUAAUUUUGAUAAUUUCUAAUAAGGAAAAGUUUUACCAUAAAUAUCUUUAAUUAAUUUUCAGCUCUUAAAUUAGGAAAAAAUAUUGAAAUUUUGAUGAUUUCUAAUAAGGAAAGGUUUAACCAUAAAUAUAUUUAAUUAAUUUUUAACUCUUAAAUAUUAAGAAAAAAUAGUGAAAAGAUGAUUUUAUCUAAAGCAAAGACUUUUAAUGAAGGGUAAAAAGAUCAAACAACAUUUCUAAGGCCCUUCACACUUUUAAUAUAUUAUAUAAUAUGUAUAUAUGAAUGUGUGCAUAUAAUUUUGACUGAUUUUGGACAUGACAUUAAAAAAAAAUGAGUUACAUGUCAAUGCUUAUCCCACUGACCAUCCUAGGAUGCUACAUCAUUUCAUUAUGUAGGUUUCGAAGAUUUUCUUGUUGUCCCUGUGCAGCAUUAGGUGGAUUAGCACGUUUAUUGAAUUACUAUGAAGUGGUGAGCCUCCAUCCUUCGGAAGACCUUAUCAUUUUAUUGUUUCUUCUUUAUUGGUUCAGUACUUUUGGAUUCUUUUUGGUCAUAGUCGGGGGCAUUACCCAACUUAGAUGUUAUUGUGAUUUUAGAGGCUAUUGUGGAUAGAUGUGGGUUGGUUAGUUAUUGAUUGACUCUUAGUUUUCAUAGAAUUAUCUAUUCAUCAUUCAUUACUGUUUAAUUGGCUUCCACAUGGUUAUUAUUAUUAUUAUUAUUAUUGUUAUUAUUAUUGUUAUUAAUAUUGUUGUUGUUGUUGUUGUUGUUAUUAUUAUUAUUAUUAUUAUUAUUAUUAUUAUUAUUAUUAUUAUUAUGCUCUUGAGGUUAGGUUAAGGGGGUGGUAUCCGGUCCAUGGUGGACUUGAGAUACCAGUCACGGUCAGACCCUGGUUCGCGUCGUGAUACAUAAUUCAGAAAGAGGCCAACAAUUCUAACAAGAAGCAAGAGAGAGCUCAUGGAUCAAACGCCGCAGAUUUCUCUACAAAUUCAUUCAUUCAAGAUCUAGUUCAUCAACAUUCAAUAUCAAGACCACAAGAUUUAAGAACAAUCUCAGAGGCCUUGAAUUAAGUACAAGUCGAGAUCAAGUUCAUCGAAUCCACAAAUCAAUAUCCAGUCCAUCAAGAUUCAAGAUCAAGAUUGCAAGAUUCAAGAUCAAGCUCAAAAACUCUUGAAUUCAAAUACAAGUCAAGAUCAAAUUUAUUAAAUUCACAAAACAAGUUCAAAUUCUAGAUCAAGCUCGAAGUUCUUGAAUUUAUUUUCGAAAAUGAUUAUUGCAAUAUUUUUACUAUCUCAAUUAAUUAUUUUCUCGAUUUCAAAUUUUAUUGUCCAACAAUUCCUAUAACUAUCUUUUAUUACCAAAAUAAUAAAAUGGUGUGAUUUCAAAGUUGAUUAGUUGCUUUGAAGACAUGUCAGUCUAUCUUCACCAUUAAAUCAUUGAUCUGUGUCCAGUUAGUUUUAAGCUUUAAUAAGAAAAGUAUUUGUUCUUUUGGGUCAAUCUUUAUGUGUGUAAAAUCAAAACUAAAAGCACCAGAAAAAAGCAAAGUGUCAAGCUAUUGAGAAGUCAUAUGACAGUUUUUAGGAUAAAACUUAAUAAUUUUAUAAUAAAAGAUUUAGAAAUAUUUGAAUCAAAAAAUAUUAAUUUAUUUUUAAAAAAGAUUGUUAGUAUCUUAAAGUUAGGAUAUAAGAUUGAAGAGUUCUAAAUGAACGCUUAAUAUUUCAUAAACUUACCCCUUUUAAUUUUAAAUUUAAAUUGAAAGAAAAAUAUCCUUUCUAAAUUUGAAUUUAUAAAUAAAUCUUUUAUGAAUUCUAAAUUAAUAAAACAAUAAGAUAAUUACUAUAAAAUUAUUUAGAUAAUAAAAUAAAUUAUUUAAAUUUUGUAUGAAAAGAUACACGUUGAUUAUUUAGUACUGCAAAUCUGCAAAAUCCUACACAAAAUUGACAACUGUAUAACUUAUUAUUAAAAAAAUUAAAAAAACAUGAUUACGAGCUUUUAUAACAAAUAAUCAAUAAAUAAUUAAAUAAUUUUUUUAACAAAAUUACAUAAUUAAAAAAAAUGAAAAGCCCCUCAUAAAACGUCAUCCGACUAAAAUGCACACGUUUCGACAUUUAUCUUUUUCUUUAAAAAUAUCAUAGUAAAUAAAAAUAAUGCCUCCUCUUAUUUUUCUUUUUUUAUUUAAAUCAAUUAGAUGAGUUGAGUAUCUAAUAAAAUGCUAACUCUUUCACUUUUCAUGUUUGGAAACAUACAACUUUUUAAACGAUCUUUUAAAAAAAAUUUGAAAUUAUAAACUAUAAGAUAAAGAUAUUGUGAAAAAAAAAUUAGAGAUAAGGAAGAAUAAUAAACUAAUCUUCUUUUAACUAAUUGAUUUGAUAUUUGAAUUUGAUUGAAGUUCCAAAUUCUUAACCUGUUUGUCUCUUAUAUAAACACUCAUAUGUCAUCAGAUUUAUUCAUGAUUUUUUUACUACACUUUCUAUUCUUCAUUUUUAAAGACUAUUUUUAUUUAAUAUUUGUCAUUUUCAUAUGCAGGAAGGAUAUAAGAUAUUCAUCUUCAUCUCCUCUGUUAAAGUUUAAGGUACACUAAUUUAAAUUGAUAUAUAUAUAUAUAUUUCUCUCAUGAUUCGAUUUAAGAAAUAAUAUUAUUGUUACCGCUCUCUUUUCCCAAUCAUGAUCCAACACGUAUCUCCAUCAUCAUCCCUUUUAUUAUUUUUUUAUGUUUGUUAAGGUGCAAAAUAGUUUCUUUAUCUAAAUUUAUGUAUUGAUUCUAGCACGAAGAUUUUUUGAAAAAUAAAUAAUAUUAGAUAUUAUUACACCACUUUAAAUAAAAAAAAGAAAAACUUUAUUAAGAUUAUAUAUUUCGACUCAAUUUUAUUGUAUCCUUAUCCAAGGAAAUUGAAAAAAGCCUCGGAAGCUCAUAUCCUAUUUUUUAGAGGAUGUUAGCAAUUAAAUUUGUCCAUCCCAUUUCAAAUGAAAAAUGUCUUGGGUAUAAUGUAGAUAUUAAAAAAAAUAAAGCAAGAAAAAUUAUGUUUUUUUAGAAGAAAGAAGAUACAUUUGAAUUUUAAAAAUAAAAUUUCAAUAAAUUUACUAACCGGGUGGACAUAUUUUUGUUCAAGAGAUUAACAUUUGUUUUAUAGUUAAAUGUGGCUUACACGAAAUGGAUAGUAUAUUUAACAAAAAUUAGAUAGAUCAUUUUUUUUAAUUUGAAUUGAAAAUACAUUAUCUUUUAAAAGAUAAUUUAGUUCAGAUGUAUGAUUUUUUUUUCUUUUUUUGUAAAAGUCUUAUUCUUAUACAUCUUUCCAAAAAGUGUCAAUUUACUUUUAACUUAAGAUAAGGAUGAAAUAAAUUGAAUACAUUAGGGACCUAAAAACUGUUGGGUUCAAAGUACAUGAAAAGUGAAUGGAAAAUGGAGAUAACCAAGUGGAAGGAAAAAUAGAGAAGAAAACACUAAAAUGAAAAGUGUACUCUAAAAUGGAAAGUCUACUAUUUCUCCCACAUUAGUGGGAGAAUGUGACUUUCAAGUGUUUAUAUUAAGAAACACUUAUUUCACUUGGUAAGUGAGGCAAGAAAUAAAAGAUGCCUCGCGCCCUCGUCGUCGUCGCUCGCUUGGAUUUGGAUUUGGCAAAUGAUCGAUCGAUGAGAUCUAUCUUUUUGGACAAAAUUUAUUCGACAGAAAUCUAAUCCGAAGGUAAAAUAAAAAUGUAGUAAAUUUUUUCUGUGUUUUGAUCCUCCAGUUAUAUGCAUGCAUGCACUGUUUCAAACUGAUGCUUCUGAGGAAUGCACUGUUUCGAACUGAUGCUUCGGAAGGAUGGAAUCCUUCAAUGAAAUGACACACUGAUUCAUGAAAUUGUCUGCCUGUUCGGAAAAGAUGCAAUCUUUGGAUGAACAAACAUGAUUUUUCAGGAAAGGUCACACCUUUUAAGUAAAGGUCACACCUUUUAAGUAAACCAUUGUCACUUUUCAAAAGAGGCAUAUGAAGGAUAUAUAAACCUGCUUUCAUCCAAAGGUUUAGACAUGAAUUUUCUAAAUGACAAACUCUCUUCUUGUCUUCAAAUAUUUUGUGUGAUCAAUUAAACUGUUGAGUGAGUUUGUUGAAUCCAACAAUUUGAGGUACCGCUAUUAUUCGGAUUGAAGGCCAUUUUAUCCUGGGUGGAAGAUUCCAUAACCUUGGGUACAGUGAGGGAAAUUAUUCCUUAGAGGACACUCCGUGAAGUCGAGGGACUUGGCCUUACAAAUUCUAUUUCAUCUAUUUUCUGAAAAUAAACACACUUCUUAGAUAGAUUUUUCAUAAUCUAGUGUUGAAGGUGUUAAGUAACUUCAAAAGUGUUCUUGUCUUAGACUUGAACUAGAGUUGAAUUUGGUGUUGCAUGUAUACAGAUUCUUGUACCCGAACACCAUACAAUCACAAUCAUAAGGAAUAAACUGCAGAAUCUGCAUUGCUUGUUUUUGGAGAUUAAAGCUUUAAGUUUUCUACUCCGUUUGUUCUUAACUAGUGAUUCGAAGACAUUAAAUCUUCAUCACAAGUUAAAGAUCACUCGGUUGAUGAUUGAAAGUCAUAAAAACUUAAUCGUUAACUAGAAACAAGAAGAAGAGUUUAAAGUUGCUUAACUUUAUAAGUAGUAUUCUGAAAAUACUAAAUUUUAUUGUCUUGUGGUGACAAAAAAAAUGACUAACGAAAGCCAAACGCAAGAUGCGGCUACAACUAUGGGGGAAACUAGUAUUGCCUCAAUAAGUCGAGCAAAUACUCCACAACUAAUGGCACCUGUAAAGAAGCCCAAAAAUUUUACAGGCAUUGACUUUAAGCGAUGGCAGCAGAAGAUGUUCUUCUGCCACACAAUACUAUGUCUUCAAAGGUUCACUAGUGAAGAUGCUCCUGAGGUGCCCAAGGAAACCUCAAACAUAGAGCGUUUCAUAAUUGUAGAGGCUUGGAAACCCUCGCACUUCCUUUGUAGGAAUUAUAUCUUGAGUGGUCUCCAAGACGGCCUCUAUAAUAUUUACAGUGGAACUAAGACAUCGAAGGAAUUGUGGGGUACACUAGAACAAAAAUACAAGACAGAGGAUGCGAGAAUUAAGAAAUUCUUUGUUGCAAGGUUCCUGGACUUUAAAAUGAUAGAUAGCAAAUCGGUUGUCUCUCAAGUGCAGAAAUUGCAAGUAAUAAUCCACGAUCUCUUAGCAGAGGGCAUAUACUUGAAAAAUACCUUAGUUGAACAAAUUAAAAAUGUUCUUAGUACUCACACAAACUUUUUUGUAGGUUUAAUUGUGAAUGAUGCAUUUCAAGUAGCAGCGAUCAUUGAGAAGCUACCACAUAUGUGGAAAGACUUCAAAAACUACUUGAAGCAUAAACACAAGGAGAUGACUGUCGAUGAUCUUAUUGUCUGACUGCGUAAUGAAUAGGAUAGUAAGGCUGUCGAAAGAAGGUCAAAUGGGAAUUCUACAAUUAAUGGAGCACAUAUUGUAGAAGAUGACCAAAACAAUUCUAAAAAGGGAAAGAAAGUUGAACAAGGAAGAAAUCAACCUAAGAAGAAAUUCAAGGGAAAGUGCUUCAACUGUGGCAAGAUUGGCCAUAAGUCCACGGGUUGUCGUGCCUCUAAGAAAGGCAAGAAAAAGGACCAAGCAAAUAUGAUUGAGUCCAACAAAGAAUGUGAUGAUCUGUGUGCUAUGUUUUCAGAAUGCAACUUGGUGGGGAAUCCUCGCGAGUGGUGGAUAGAUUCCGGUACCACCCUCCAUGUUUAUGCCAACAAAGAGUUGUUUUCAUCAUUCGCUCUAGCUCAAGUAUAAGAAAUGAUCUACAUGACUAACUCCGCUAUGGCUAAGGUAGAUGGAACAGGAAAAAUAGGCUUGAAAAUGACUCCAGAAAAGGUCUUGACACUUAACAAUGUCUUGUAUAUUUUGGAAUUAUAUAAGAACUUGAUUUCUGUUUCACUUCUAGACAAGAAUGGAUUCAAAUAUGUAACUGUUUCUGGAAAAAUUAUAAUUAGCGAAGGAGAAGUGUAUGUAGGAAAAGACUAUCUCACCGAGGGCCUUUAUAAGAUGAAUGUAAUAAAUGUUGAAAUUAAUAAAAGUUCAAAUUCUUCUUACUUGAUCGAGUCUUAUAAUGUGUGGCAUGAACGUUUAGGCCAUAUUAAUUACAAAACGUUAUGAAAACUGAUUAACUUAGAGGUUUUGCCAAAGUUUGAGUGCAAUAAAUCAAAGUGUCAAACGUGUGUGGAAUCAAAGUAUACAAAGCAUCCUUAUAAGUCCGUUGAAAGAAAUUCCAAUCCUUAGACUUAGUACACACUGACAUUUGUGAUAUGAAGUCAACUCCAUCACGUGGUGGGAAAAAGUAUUUCAUAACUUUUAUUAAUGAUUACACUAGAUAUUGUUAUGUCUACUUGCUAAAUAGUAAGGAUGAAACAAUAGAUGCGUUUAAGCAAUACAAAACUGAAGUAGAAAAUCAGUUAGAGAAAAAGAUAAAAUGAUAAAAAGUGAUAGGGGUGGAGAAUAUGAAUCUUCCUUUGCCGAAAUAUGUGUAGAGAAUGGAAUCUUCCAUCAAACUACGACCCCGUAUUCACCUCAAUCUAAUGGAAUUGUGGAAAGAAAAAACUGAACCUUGAUGAAAAUAAUGAAUAUCUUACUUAUAAGUUCUGAUUUACCGCAAAAUUUAUAGGGGGAGGUUAUCCUUACAGCCAACCGUAUACUCAAUAGAUUUCCCCAUAGUAAGACACAAUCAAUUCCUUAUAAAAAAUAGAAAGGAAGAAAACCCAAUUUGAAAUAUUUCAAAGUGUGGGGGUGUCUAGCAAAGGUCCAAGUUCCUAUGCCUAAAAAGGUUAAGAUAGGACCUAAGACUGUGGACUGUGUGUUCAUAGGAUAUUCUAAAAGCAGUAAAGCAUGUUGUUUUUUGGUUCAUAAAUCCAAAUAUCUGGAUAUAAAUGAAAAUACGGUAAUUGAAUCAGGUAAUGCUGAAUUUUUUAAAAACAUUUACCCGUAUAAAAUUAGACAUGAAUAGUCUAGUGGAGGAUCUAAACGGCCUUGAGAUGAACCAAGUGAGAAUGUACAUAAUGAAGAGAAUCCAAGACGUAGUACACGUCAAAGAAUGUUUACUUCAUUUGGAUAAGAUUUUGUAACAUUUCUCUUUGAAAAUGAGCCUCAAACAUUUAAAGAAGUGAUGUCGUUGUCAGACUCAUCCUUUUGGAAAGAGGCAGUCAACAGUGAGAUUGAUUCAAUCUUAAGUAACUAUACAUGGGAAUUGAUUGAUCUUCCUCCAGGAAAUAAACCUUUAGGUUAUAAAUGGAUCUUCAAAAGAAAAAUAAAGGUGGAUGAUACUAUAGAUAAAUACAAGGCAAAACUUAUAGUAAAAGGCUUCAAACAAAAAGAAGGACUUGAUUACUUUGAUACAUACUCGCCAGUAAUAAGGAUAACAUCGAUUCGAAUGUUAAUUGCCUUGGCGGCGGUCUAUGAUCUUGAAAUUCAUCAAAUGGAUGUGAAAACCGCAUUCCUAAAUGGAGAAUUGGAGGAAGAAAUUUACAUGGAACAGCCUAAGGGUUUUGUGGUUCCAGAAAAAAAGAAUAAGGUGUGUAAGCUUAUUAAGUCAUUGUAUGGACUAAAGCAAGCACCUAAACAAUGGCAUGCAAAGUUUGACCAAACCAUGUUGGCAAACGGGUUGAAGAUAAAUGAAUGUGAUAAAUGUGUUUAUAUUAAAGACACUCCGAAUCACCAAGUCAUUGUUUGUUUAUAUGUGGAUGAUAUGUUGAUCAUCAGUAAAGAUAUUUCUGACAUAAAUGCAACGUAACAAAUGCUCGAGAGUAAGUUAGAUAUGAAAGACCUUGGAGUUACGAAUGUGAUCUUAGGAAUAAGAAUCCAUAGAACUCCACAAGGGUUGUCAUUGUCACAGUCUCAUUAUAGCGAAAAUGUACUUAAAAAAUUCAAGGAUAUGAAAUUCGAUAUUGCCACGACUCCAUUGGAUGUGAGUUUUACACUUCAAAAUAAUGAAGGUGAAAGUGACUCAUAAUUUUAGUAUGCAAGAGUAUUGGGAUGUUUAAUAUAUAUAAUGAACUGUACACGACCAGACAUAACAUGUGCUAUUAGUAAAUUGAGUCGUUACAUGAGUAAUCCCAACAAAACUCAUUGAAUGGCAAUGAAAAGAGUUUUAGGGUAUCUUAAAUACACUCAAUACUAUGCCAUGUAUUAUAAUAAAUAUCCCACAGUACUCGAAGGAUAUAGUGAUGUAAAUUGGAUCACCGGAUCGAAUGAAGUAAAAUCCAUAAGUGGAUAUGUAUUUACUAUCGGUGGAGGAGCAGUCUCUUGGAAAUUAUCCAAACAAACUUGUAUUGCUCGCUCUAUAAUGAAAUCUAAAUUUAUCGCAUUGGAUAAAGUCGGUGAGAAGCAGAAUUGCUCCAAAAUUUCUUGGAAGAUAUUUCUUAUUGGCCCAAACUAGUGGCACCAGUAUGUAUACACUGUGAUAGCCAAACGGUGAUAGGUAGGGUAGGGAGCAUUAUAUACAACGGUAAAUCUCAUCACAUACGACAGAGACAUAAUACCAUUAGGGAACUUCUGUCUAGUGGAAUUAUCGUUGUUGACUAUGUUAAGUCAAAGGAUAAUGUAUCAGAUCCACUUACAAAUGUCCUAUCUAGAGAAGGAGUGGAAAGGACAUUCAAGGGAAUAGGUUUAAGGCCUAGGAUAAGUCAGCAUGGUGAUAACUCUACCUAGAAGACUGGAGAUCCCAAGAGCUAGGUUCAAGGAGAUCAAAAAAAGUUGUGUCUGACAGGUUCAACAUUGUCAAUUACCCAACCCAUUCUCAUGAUAUGGUUAAUGGUUAGUAAACAAGGAUAAAACUUAAGGUGAAAAGUCUUUUAAUGAUUAUCUAAAUUUGGCAGAUUUAACCAAAUAGUUUAAUCUACAGGAUUGAACAUUUAGAAAUCACCUAUGUGAGGGUGAAGUGGAAGCCGCUUCAGGGACAAUGUUAGUAAAGGAUUAUUCUCUAAGCUCUUAUGAAACCGAAACGUGUUCAUGGCUGAAAAGAACAAAACCGUGAGAACCAUAAACGGUAAAAGGCUGGUUGUAUGACAAGUGUUGUCUAGGUGUACAUUAAAUCUUAAUGGUUAAAAAAUAUCAAAUCUACCAAUUGACCGAGUGCAUCCGAUGUAUGUUCACUACGGAAAGUUCAAAGGGAAACCCACUUAUCCAAAUGCAAUCAGUCUUUGCUUGAUGAUCACAUACUUAUCCGUAAAAUUUUUAUGAAAAAUAUCCAUUCCCCAUUCAUGUGGGGGAUUUUUGGGUUCAAAGUAUAUGAAAAGUGUGAAUGGAAAAUAGAGGAAAUCAAGUGGAAGGAAAAAUAAAGAAGAAAACACUAAAAUAGAAAGUGUACUCUAAAAUGGAAAGCCUACUAUUUCUCCCACAUUGGUGGGAGAAUGUGACUUUCAAGUGAUUAUAUUAAGAAACACUUAUUCCACUUGGUAAGUGAGGCAAUAAAUAAGAGACAUCUCGCGCUUUCGUCGUCGUCGCUCGCUCGGCUCGACUUCGGAUUUGGAUUUGGCAAAUGAUCAAUCGAUGAUAUCUAUCUUUUUGGACAAAAUUUAUUCGACAGAAAUCUAAUCCGAAGGAAAAAUAAAAAUGCAACAAUUUUUUUUUGUGUUUUGAUCCUCCAGUUAUAUGUAUGCAUGUGCUAUUUCAAACUGAUGUUUCUGAGGGAUGCACUAUUUUGAACUGAUGCUUCAGAAGGAUGCAAUCCUUCAAUCAAAUGACACACUGAUUCAUGAAAUGGUCUGCCUGUUCAGAAAAGAUGCAAUCUUUGGAAGAACAAACAUGAUUUUUUAGUAAAGGUCAUACCUUUUAAGUGAACCAUUGCCACUUUUCAGAAGAAGCAUAUAAAUGUUAUAUAAACCUACUUUCAUCCACAGUUUUAGACAUGAAUUUUCUGAAUGACAAACUUUCUUCUUGUCUUUAAAAUAUUUCGUGUGAUCAAUCAAACUGUUGAGUAAGUUUGUUGAAUCCAACAAUUUGAGGUACCACUAUUGUUCAUAUUGAAGACCAUUUUAUCCUGGGAGAAAGAUUCUAUAACCUAGGGUACAGUGAGGAGAAUUAUUCCUUAAGGACACUCCGUGAGUUCGGGGGCUUGGCCUUAUAAAUUCUAUUUCAUCUAUUUUCUGAAAAUAAACAUACUUCCUAGAUAGAUUAUUCAUAAUAUAGUGUUGAAGGUGUUAAGUAACUUCAAAAGUGUUCUUGUCUUAGACUUGAACUAGAGUUGAAGUUGGUGUUGCAUGUAUACAAAUUCUUGUACACAAACACCAUACAAUCACAAAAAUAUGGCUAGAAUCUGUUGUACUUCAAAAAUGAUAAAAGCACUAACAAAUAUACACUGAUGUAUUUUAAUUACAUUAAGCCUGAUAAGUUGUUCUAGAAAUUUUAAAUUAAAGAGAGGUCAAUAAUAGAAUAAAGUUCAAACAUAAGAAAAUCAUAAGUAAAAGAAAAGAGAUAUCUAUUCUAAGAGCACUACAUAUUUAUUUUAAGUGAGGUGAUUGGUUAAUAAAAAUCAAUAUUAACAAACUAACAAUUUUAAAUAGUAGUGAAAAUGUAAUAAAGAAAAAUAUUAAACAUAAAAGUUUAUCGAUAAUUAUAUGAUUUGUUGUCUUAUUCAUACAGAUUUGAUUGUAGUUUUCAUUGAGGAAUAAUAUGAUUAUUGAUUUUUAAAAAAAUAAUAAUUUAAUUUAGUAAAAAAAAUGUAAUAAAGAAAAAUAUGAAACAUAAAAGUUUAUCUAUUUAAUUGAUGACUCAUUGUCUUUAUUCAUAUAGAUUUGAUUGUGAGAUUGUGAUAGUAUUGGUGUGUGUAGGGGGUGGGGCGGGUUGGGGGGCAUGUAAUAAAGAAAAAUAUGAAGCCUAAAAGUUUAUUGACAAUUAUAUGAUUCAUUGUCUUUAUUCAUAUUGUAAUGCCCCAUAUUUUUUUACUAGGAUUUGAACCAUCAUUCCUACGUGUAUAAACCCAAACCCAAUGAUUUCUAUGUAAAUAUAAGUGUGAUUAUCAAUUCUAUAGUGUGGUAACAUUAGUUUGGGAACAUCUUUGGAGAUUAAUUGAGGUCAUAUAAAUCUUCUAACUCAAAGUUGAGUUGAGAACUUUUCUACCGAUUGAGUUUUAGUGAACGUUCCUACGUGGGUUAACUUUUAAAGACCAUUAUUCUUAGAAUAUAACGAGUUAGGUGGCCUACUAUAUAGAAAAUGAAAAAUCUUUGGGUCUUCUUUAAAUGCAUCUGAUUUCACGUUAAUUCGAUAUCGGAGUAGAAAGUUAUGCUCAUUUUACCUGAGAGUGUCUGUCUACUAAAGAUUAACAAUGGGAGUUGACGAGCUGUCAAUUAGUUGAUGGACUGUCAACUAAAGUCAUCAAACUUAGACAGUAAAAUCCAAAAUUUUUUAGAUGUUGAUGAAGGGACUUAACAAAGCCGUCAACUAGUUGACGGGCUGUCAACUUAGAAAUUUCUACAAUUUAUUUUUUAAGUUUCUUCAGGGGUAGUUUAAUCUUUUCCUCACCUCAAAUCCUACCCCACAACUUAAAUCAUUAUAUAAGCAUUAUGUACUCAUCAGUUACUAAUUUUUCAUUGCUAUUUCUUCUCUCCACUCUCAAGAGAAUCAAAACUAGAGUUUCUUCCCAAAGUUCAACUUUCAAGGCUCCAAGUUCAAGUUUUUCUCAAAGUCCUUUCUUCAAAAAGGCAUGUUGAACAUUCCUUACUUUAAGUAUUACUAUAUUUUUUCAAUUUUCUUGGUAAUUAUGUAUUGUUUAAUGGUUGUUUGAAAUUAGAGUUAAGGGAUUUGAUUAUGAAAGCUUUAGAUUGAAUUUCCUUUUAUUUUAAUGGUUUUAUCGAUACUAUUAACAGGAUUUGAACCGUAAAUUUUUUAUAUGAAAAUGGUGAACUUGGUAAUAUGAUUCACAAUUUUUAUGAAUUUUGCAUUUUCACCCCUUUCAAAACAUGAUGUUUCAUGCGAAUUAUGAAUUUUACUUCGUCUUUUAAACAAUACAUGGUAAAAAUGAAAAAAAAAGUUUAAAUGACUCUUUCAAUGCCCUUGGAGGUUAUGUUUAUGACUUUUGAAAGCCCUUGGGGCUAUGGUUAUGGAUUUUAAGAUGAAUUUUAGAGUAAAAAAUGUUUUAGUGAAAAUGAUAUGACAUAAUAUGAAUUGUUUGCAAGUGUUAGUAUGAUGAUACCAAAUCAGACCAGACAAAUGCCAUUUCAAAUCAUAGACCAUGUUUGAGAAAUAUGCAUAUUUUAAAUGCUAAAAUAUGUGCUAAAAGAGAGUUAUGUGGAUAACCGAGAAGGCACGAGUUGUAAGACUCAUUGCUUGAAAUCGUAUUUUAUCGAUAUGGGAUUGAUUUUGUCCUAAAAUACGGAUGAUCAUUGUAUAUUUGCUUUAUGCUUUGGUAUACCAGAUCAGACACUUCAAUCCUUGCAGCAAACACAGAUUAGGGGCUUUAGUGAUAAGUUUAUAUCAGAUUCUGCAUAACUCGCGAGGUUUCUCAGACUAUGCUGGGUAUGCUACUUAGCUCAGAAUUAAAGAACAUCAGAAUUUUAUCUCAAAAAUCAACUUUUGAUUUGAAGUUUAUGUCUACAAGUUGAAUUGAUAUUUUGUGACCCCAUACUAUGAUUUGUACAAAUUAAAGUGUAAAAUGUCAUGUUUUAUGUUCCUUGUCUCAUGUCUCUUACUUUAUUAUUAUGGAUGAUGAAAUAAGUUAUACGACUGGUUUUAUAAAAGAAUGUUUCAUUUCUUUCCCCAGGUUGCAUGCUAGUACUUAAUGACGUCCAAGAUGCACCUCCUCUCAAAAGAUAAUACAGUCGCUGUCAAAUAUAGGAACUCAAUGAAGGUUGGGGUCUAAUCCCAAGGAAAUAUGUGGAUUAUAGAUGUUGUAAUCAACGGGCAAAAACUAGAAAAUUAAAUGGGGGGAUUCGAAUGGCAAUAUCGAACAAGAAGUAAAUAUCAACUUUGGUUGUGAUCAGUACUGGGGGACACUAGGAUUUUGUUCCCUCGGGCUUCUCAACUCUAUAGACUUAUCAUGCUUUGCUGAACCAACCCGAUACCUUGCAUACAGAAUCGAUAAGUUAUGUACUAUCUAUACUCUUUUGGAUAAGUAGACAGAUUUCACUCUUUACCUUUUGAGUUUCAGGGUGUCACAUUACUAACCCUUAUCUUGAUCCUAGUUAACUAUUACAUUUUGAGUCUCUAGUUACUUGAUGAAAUCUAUCUUACAUAGAUAAUACCUAAUAGAGUGGAUCGAUAGCUAAACUCCAAAUUACUGUUGUCAUUAUCUUUUCCUAGUCAUUACUCCUCUUUUGGAGUAAGUAGCAAUAAUUUAGGCAUGAUCUUUACAUUGGCCACCGUUAAAAAAUCCAUUGUAGUAAAGAUAAUGCAAUGCAUGCCAUGGGUAUCAUUCAAUUCAACAAUCACACUUUCCCUGCUUCGUCAAUUUGUUAGGAUUUCCACAACCCUAGAUAUGAGUCUUUUAGUCGUUCAUGCUUGUGAAGAAAUCAUUAACAUUCAGAAUUGAAAGUAUAGAUGGAAUCACAAUGAUAGGAAGUGUAAAAACCUAUAACCGUUACUGAAUUAAUCAACUGAAGCCAAUACAAGAGAAUCCCAAGAUCAAAAUUGAAUCUUGGAAUCAAAAUAUGUUUGUAUCAAAAGUGCGUAACUUCUACUAAAAAUCACAUUAAGGGUAUUUAUAGUACAGACGGAGACCCUAAAACCAAAGCCCGAAUGAAAUAGGAGAAAACAGUGUUGGUAGCCAUAUGUGGUUUGACCUUGUACCUUGACCCUGGGCGUAGGUAGUACCUGUGAUCAGCAGGGUGAGCGCAGGUACUGAAUGAAAAAAUCCUGCAAGUUAACACUCGAGAUUUUGGACUUUUGGCACUUGCUUUGCUUACUUGCAGUCCGUAGGUCCUACUUGUGGUCCGUAGGUUGACUUAGUAAGUUUCGAGAGUCAUCUUUUCAGCCCUUCUUCAAUACUCAAACAUGCUUUGAUCACGAAUAAGCCAAAAAGUGUCCCGAACAUCCAUAAUAGCUCCAAAAAGUAGCCAAAACACCUUUUUCAUGAUUUUAGCAUCCAAAACAUGAUUUCCUGCAAAACAUACUCAAAACGCAUCAUAUCUAACAAAAUAACCUCAAAAACUUGCAUAUUUUCUUCAUUUUAAGUGCCGAAAGUGCUAUAUUUCUAUAGCACAUCAGUAUUCGCUGUACUGACCAUCCCCAAAUGCUACAUCAUUUUAUGAUGUAGGUUUGGAGGCAUUUUUCUAUUAUUUUGUGCAGCAUUAGGGCUCUCAUAUCCUUGUUUCGACAACUGGUGAUAAGUGAUGAACCCUCCAUCAUCUGGAAGGCGAUUGUUCAUUUAAAUUAUGUCCCUAUUCUAUUAUUUUAGUUUUUAUGGUAUAAUUAGAGCCCCAUUUCAACUUAGGAGUAUUCUUAAAGUUAGAGGCUUCGUAGACGGUGUUUGGUAAUUUGUUUUGGACUUUGUUCUUAAGAUAUGAAUAUUACUUUAUUUAAAAUUUGAACUCCUUUUCUUAUGGGCUUGUUUCUGCAACUUUAGUUUUGACAAUGCUUAGGAUGUAAUGUUGAAGGGUUAUCUCGGUCCUUUACUGGUUUGGAAUAUGAUUUGAUUGUGCCACGGUUUGAAUUAUGACACAUAUAGAUUUGAUUGUGGGAAUGUGAUGGUGUUGGUAUGUGUGUGGAGGGUGGAGGAGGAUCAUUGUACAUUUCAUUAAGGAAAAAUAAUUUUUUUAACAUAAUAUAAUUUAAUAUGUUCGAACAAAAUAUUACGAUUUAAAAUACUUUCAGGCAUCAUGGUACGUAUACUAGUUUGUUUAAUAUAACGAAAGUUGUUUUUGUGGCAACCAACACUUUGUUUGGAAGGUGGUUUCUUUGGUAUGGUAUGGUAGGGAUGACAAUUGUGCGGGUUGAGCCAAAUUUAGGUGAGUCAAACUGGGUUAAGAUAAGAAACAGGUCAAGACCCAAUCCAACCUAAAGUUAUUUGGAUCAAAAUGGGUUGGGUUAAAAUGGGUUAUAAUCAAAUCCGCCCAAUUCUUACUAAGUUUUAAUUAUUUUCUUUUAUAAAUUUUUAGUAUCGAAUAAAAUUAACUAUUUUUUUUAUUAUGAUUAUAUAUAAUAUAUCAAAUAAAAAAAGUCUUUUAAAAAUAUUUUAACAAGAUUUGUUAAAAAUCAAUUUGAGUUAUCCUUAUUUGGGGUGGGGGGGUCCUAUUACCCCACGAAGUAAGUUUGAACUGAUACAAAUAUAUCCUUUUUCGAUAAAUCUCAAUUUUUAGAAAGAAAGUGUAAAUCACGCCUCAAUUAUUACUUGCAAAGUAUUAAAUUUAUUUUAUAUUAUUUUUUUCUUAUUUUAUUAGCUUAAGGUCUUUUUUUCCUUUCCUUCUCCGAUUGUUCAUGUCUAUUGAUAAUGCUCAACUCACGCCAUGAUUUAUGGGAAAGGCGGUCAUUGUCAAGUAUAUUAACCCAACGUGAGUUGGGGUUAAAUCCUUAACAAGUGGAAUUAUCCAUCUAAUCCUAUGGGUGUUAAUAGCUACAAAAGAGCCCGUAAUGUCUGACAAAAUGAAAUAGAUAAAUUAAAUUGGGGGGGGGGGCGUGCAUAUGGUUUGGAAAGUUAUUUUGCCAAAAUCAAAUAAACUACCAAUUUAAAGGAACAAAUAUGACUAAUAUUGUAAUAUGAGACAUGUCUUGGGAUUAUGUAUUCCUAGGGGCAAAUAAUGCAUGGGUUUAUGAUAAUCGAAUGCAAAUUCUCAUUGAUGACUACAUGGGUAGGCUAGGUUAGGGGUUCUUGAUUCUAGUUUGUCAAUCAAACCUCAAGAUUAUCACCAUGGAUCCUUUCGGAUACCUCGUAGAUGUGGCUAGCAAAAUCACCCAGUACCUCAAUUGGGCAUCCCUAUCUCUGGAAAGAUGGCCAACCCUAGCUAAAUCUCAAUCCACCCUUAUUUCUAAGAUAAUGAAAAGGGAAUAAGAUACAUCUACUAUUGUUCACUAAUGCCUUGUCUCCUAUAUCACUCUUUCAAAGAUGACAUAGGAUCCACAAUUAUACUCAUAUCUCUCUUUCAAGGAUGAUGUGAGUUUUGGGGAAAUUUGGGGUUUCCACCUAUAAAUUUAUUUUGGGAAUUUGGGGCUUUCACCCACAAAUCCCAACUCAAUCAAGCAAACAUUAGUGAAACCCAUCAUCAAUAACCAAGUAUCUACCCUAAUAAAUCACAACCCAUACAUAUUUUCACCUUAUUUCAACUUAAUCCCAAGAUAAAUGUUUAGUUACUUAUGAAGUUAAAGAAAAGAAAUAUACUAAAAGGAUCAUUUAAAUCUUCUAUGGAAAUUGAAACUAAAAGUAAUCCAAUAUCCAACUUCAAUUAAAACCAAAACUACUUGAGAAAUUAGCCACAAUAAAUUUCCCCAAUUUGGUAGGGUUUCAAAUUAUUCACAAAUUUAAUUCUAGUUGGAAAGAUACCCAAAAAAUGAAAGGUUUUUUGCUUUAUAAAGGAUUUGGGGUCUUGCAUACUUGAAAGGGAACUUCAUCAUCUUGGACCCAGAAUUUUAUUUCUCCUAACUUCAUAUCAACAAUAUCUCUUUCGGUUGCAAGGAAAGGAUGUCCAAAGAUAAUAGGUAUCUCUUGGUCAAUUUCACAGUCAAGCAUAACAAAGUCUGCCAGAAGAAUAAAAUGGUCCACCUUCGCCAAAACAUCAAACAAAACUCCAACCGGUCUCUUGAUAAACCGGUUCGUCAUUAGUAGCCUCAUUGGUGUUGGAGUAAGAGUGCCCAACCCAAGUCUCCGAUAGAUUGCAUAGGGCAUUAGAUUGAUGUUUGCACCAAGGUCAUACAAGGCUUUCUCAAACUUUUAUGUCCCUAUGGUACAAGGAUCGUAAAAGCCCCGGGAUCCUCUUUCUUCUCUACUAUAGCGCUAGUCAUGAUAUCACUACACCCAUGAGUAAUUUCUAUAGUUUCACCAUCAACAAGACGUUUCUUUGACAUUAACUUCUUCAUAAGCUUAGCAUAUCCCAGAAUCUCUUGAAUAACCUCUAUCAACGGGAUAUUAAUUGAUAGAUUGCUAAGAUUAGCAAGGAACAUCUCGAAUUUGGCAUUGUCCUCUUUCUUUCCGAGCCUUUGAAGGAAUGAGGGAGGAACCUUUAUGGCAAACAAUGGAUAAAUUUGUGAUUCAUCAUUCUUAACUACCCUCGAAUCUCUCUCUUCAUCAACCAUUUCUUCCAUUAUCAUUGGUUCUUUUUUAUUCCCUUCUCGAGACUUUGAAACCUCCUAAUUUGAAUUAACCACAUGUUUAUUCUUCAUAUUUGUUUGUUCAAUAUUGUCCUCUUUCUCAACUUCCACCAUAAUAUCACCUAGAGUAUUGUCACUCCUAGUAACAAUCAUCAAUACUUGGGCAUCUUUUUUUGGAUUCACAACGAUAUUACUAGGGCCUCCUUUUAGUCUAGCAUUAAGUUGAGUGAAGAUUUGGCCAAUUUGAGUCUCCAAUUACUUGAUUGAGGUAGAGUGUAAUACAACUGUUUGGUCGAUUUGCAAAAAAUUACAUUUCAAUUCUCGAACCAUCUUAUCCAUUUCCUUUACUCUCAUCAAGAUCCUUGCUAACACAUCCUCGGUCUUGAACUUUUUGGGAUAAUGAAAUUGGACUCUUUGCCCUUUACUCGAUCAUAGGGAGGCACAUAUCAAUCAUACUACCUUUCCUUGUCUCUUCAAUCACAAUCUCUAUACCUAUCACGCCAAUCCUGUUCUCUUUUAUGAUCGAUCCAACCUUGGUUCUUACUUUGCCUUUGAUAGGCUGGGGGGGGGGGGGGGGGAACUGGAUCACCCCCCCUGUUGUUUUUCUUUUUCUUUGGGGGGGGGGGGGGGGGGGGGGGGGAACCCACCUGAUAGUUAUCUAAAUACCGAAUUUAUUCAUAUAGCCUUUUGGCCUCUUCUUCAUCGUAGCCUUUGGAUGCCACGAAAUUUAUCAUUUUUGUGGAUGCACCCAUCAUAUGUUUUGUUAGAAACUCCAAUUGUGUCAUUAUUUUUGACAUAUUUUCCUCCCCUCUUCAUCUCUUUUCCUUUUCUCUUUAUCAACAUAGGUGGUGGUAGGAGACCCUUUAGCUACCUCGGUAUCUUGAGUAUGCCAUCCCCGAUCUUGCUUUGUGACUUCCUCAAGCAAGUUUAUAGCCAUAUUAUAAGACAACUUCACAAGUGAACCCCUAGAUGCAUUAUCCACUAUGGUUUUAUUUAGUUGAUCCAAAGCCCGGUAGAAGAUUUAGAGAAAUAUUUUCUCCGAGACCUCGUGGUUGGGACAUUGCAUAAGCUUUACAUUAAAUCUCUCUCAUACCUCAUAUAGAGAUUCUCCAUUAAAUUGAUGAAAAUUGGUAAUUUUAUCACGCAAUUACAAUAUCUUGGAUGAUGGGAAGUAUCAUUCUAAGAAUGCAACGGUAAGUUCAUCCCACGAUGUGAUUGACCCAGUGGAAAGAGAUCGUAGCCAUAAUACCGCCUCACCCAUUAGAGAAAACACAAAAAGGCACAACCGCAUGGACUCUUGUGACAUGUGAGCAAUGUAGAAGAAGUCACAAACUUCCACAAAAUUAUUUAAGUGCAAGUUGGGGUCUUCAUGAGCUUGCCCUCCAAAAAUACCUUUCAUUUGAAGCAUGUACAACACUAUUUGCAGGGCACUCGCACGUCCAAAAUCAUAUGGAAUACCCUAUUCCCUUGAUUAAGUGGGAUAUGGAUGGCACUCGCACGUCCAACAUCAUAGAGUUGCUCUUCAUCAUCAAGGGGCCCAUCAAAGGUCCCGACAUUAUUUGCAGGGUCACUCAUGGUGUCGUCGACACUAUUGAAAUCACCUAAAAAUAAAUAAAAACAACAACCAAAAUAAAUAACAACCACUACGGGUAAACCCAAAUCUACUAUCAACACCGCACAAGCAAAAACUAAGUUUCACUUUCCAACAACUGCGUCAUUUUGAUAAUGCCCAAUGUACUUCAUGAUUUAUGGGCAAGGCGAUCAUUGCCAAGUAUAUUAACCCAAUGUGAGUUGGGGUCGAAUCCUCAAGGAGUGGAAUUAGCCUUCUAAUCCUAUGGGUGUAAUAGAUACUAAAGAGAUACCCGUAAUGUAGACAAAAUAAAAUACACGAAUUAAAAUGUGGGGGGGGGGGAUUUAGUUUGGAAGGUUAUUUUACCCAAAUCAAAUCAAACUGCCAAUUCAAAGUAACAAAUAUGGCUAAGAUUUCAAUAUGAGAUAAGUCUUGGGAUUAUGUCUUACUAGGGGCAAAUAAUGCAUGGGUUCAUGACAAUCGAGUACAAAUUCUCGUUGAUGACUACAUGGGUAUUCUAGGUUAGCAGUUCUUGAUGCUCAUUUAUCAACCAAACCUCAAGAUUAUCACCCAUGGACCCUUUCGGAUACCUCAUAGAUAUGGCUAGCAAAAUCACCCAGUACCUCAAUUGGGCAUCCCUAUUUCUGGAAAGAUGCCCUAGACGUAGAUAAUUCUCAAUCCACUAUUAUUUCUAAGAUAAUGAAAAGGGAAUAAGAUAUAUCUACUAUUAUUCACUAAUGCCUUGUCUCCCAUAUCCCCCUUUCAAGGAUGAUAUAGGAUCCACAAUUAAACUUACAUCUCUCUUUCAAGGAUGAUGUAAGUUUUUGGAAAAUUUGAGGUUUUCACCCACAAAUCUAUUUUGGAAAUUUAGGGUUUUCACCCUUAAAUCCCAACUCAAUCAUGCAAGCAUUAGUGAAACCCAUCAUCAACAACUAAGAAUCUACCCUAAUAAAUCCUAACCCACACAUAUUUUCACCCUAUUUCAACUCAAUCUCAAGAUAAAUGUUUAGCUACUCAUUAAGUUAAAGGAAAGGAAUAUACCAAAAGGAUCAUUUAAAUUUUCAAUGGAAAUUGAAACUAAGAGUAAUCCAAUAUCCAACUUCAAUUACAACCAAAACUACUUGAGAAAUUAGCCACAAUAAGUUUCCCCAAUUUGGUAGGGUUUCAAAUUAUUCACAAAUUCAAUUCUAGUUAGAAGAUACCCAAAAAUGAAGGGGUUUUUGCUCUAUAAGGGAUUUGGAGUCGGUUCUAUGACAUUACAAAUCUGCCCCUUGGCACAAACCCGCGCUACCGCGAUCGCCCCAGCUUGAUUGCGAUCACGACUCCCGCAUUCAUGGUGAGUCCUUCGCAAUCGCUGGCCCUGAAUAAUCUUGGUUGGCCACAGUCGCAGCCCUCAGACUGAGAUCGCAAUAACUGAGGUCAGAUUCUGCUCUUGCUUUUCCAGUUCAUGCACUUCUUUUUCCUUUUUGAUCUAUUUUUAGCUCACUUCACUUUCAUCUCAUCACAUGUUUACCUGCAUUGUAUUUAGUGCAUUCAAAUGACAAAGGUGUCUUAUUCAUACCGUCAAAUCAUAGUAGUGUGCACACAUUUGAAUGUAAAUAAGUGGUAAAUUUAUCACUCAUCAUCUAUCAAACCUCAAUCAUUUUCUCCUUUUCGCUGAUAAUUCUUUAGUGUGAUCAUCAUUACCAUCACCCACAGCAUCAUCCCCAAUGUGUCUAUCACAAAAUCUCUGCCAAUUCAAAAUUAAAAUUAAAAAAUCAAUAUAUCAAAUUAAUUUUUUUAAAAUAAAAUUAUCACUAUCAAAAUCUUCUCUAUGUGAUCCGUCUUUGAAUUUUGCUCUAAAUCAGGUAGGUUGUGACUAAAUAUCUCUCUCAAAAAGCUAGAUGCUUCCUCAUUUUUGAAUUCCUAAAAUUCAAUUUAAUAAAUUUUGAAGAAUUAAUUGAAAUGUGUUGAUUUUUUAAGAAAAGUUUUUAAAGUUGAAAAAUAAAUCAAAGUGACAGCAGUAAAGAAAGGUGAAUAGAGUUGUAGAAAAAUUGGUGACACUAAAAUGACGAAGAAAAUGGCCAUGACAAAUGAUCUGUGAAGAAAAAAAAAAGGAAAAGAAAAAAAAUGAAUAAGAAAAAAAAAAUCAGCAAGAUAAUAGGAAAAUAAAUUUUAUAAGGAAAAUUUAGUAAAAAUAAAUUUAUAAUCGUUUUUGAGUUGUUCACUAUCUUAAAGAGAGUGCAUACACUUUUCGGGACAGGUGGAAAAAAAUGAAUAUAAUAAUAACACUUCAAAAUUAUUCAAUGAUGGUAAUAGGACACCUGCAAAUUUUAAGAGUCUUUUUACAAAUUUGAAACAACUUCAGUUGUAACUUUAUGUUUUUUCUUUUGAUUGUAACUACAAAACCCCCACUUUAUAAAAUCACUGAGUGGUGGUAUCCCAUGAUUUACUUAUUUCUUUUUUCAAUUACGCUCUUACUUAAAAUUACAUAAUCCUAUUUUACCUUUAUCCCAUAUUAUUUAAUUCCACCCUAAACCUACUCUAACCACCACUAGCCCCAUCCUACCCUCCAAAAAGAAAAAUUUUAUUUUAUGUUAUAAGAAAAUUCAAUUUUAUUUUCUUAUCCCACCCCUUACCAAAUUCUACCCCAAUUUUUUAAAUUUAUUUUAAUAAGAAAAAAAUCAAAACCUUUUUCUUACCCCACCAUCACCACCUACCCUUCGCAACAAUCAUUUUUUUAAUUCUUUAAAUUUAUUUUUCUUAAAUAUUUUUUUUAAAAAAAUAUUACCCCACCCCAACUCCCUACCAACUCUCCCCCACAAAAUAAAGAAUUAAUUUUUUAAAUUUAUCUUUUAAAAGAUAUUCAAAGAUUUUUUCUUACCCCACCCCCUAUCCCUACCCUGAACCCCAGUACUUGUAACAUAUACAAAAGAUGUAUUCAAACAUUGUACUUGUCAUUGGUGGUCACAUUUCAAAACACCCAAAAAAAAUUGUUACUAUAAAAAAUGACUUUGGUUAUAUUUAUUUUGAUCUACUCAUUUAUUGAUUUUGUUAGACUUUACAUGAAUUUACCAACUUAAAAAUGGCAUAAUUUGUGACAAAUUAGCAUGAAGAAAAUUAUCUUAAAUUAUUUUAUUAACAAUUAUUGAUAAUUUAACACUUAUAAUAAUUAAGGAAACUUUAGCGAACUUAUCAAUUAUGAUACAGUAUCACACCGGCCAAACCAACCAAUAAAACAAUUACCAAAAAACAGUAAAUGAUAAGUCUAUUCAAAUAUUGUAUUGUACUAUAUUGUACAGUACAAUACCAUACCUUAUCAUACAUUAUGAAACCAUAAAAAACCACCAUCCAAACAAGGUGUAAGGGUUGUUGUGGCAAUUUGGGCCGUCUCAACACUAUUAGGGCUCUAAAGCGAAAUUCUAAAGAGAGACUCUCUCUUUCUCUCUCUCUUUAUAUAUAUGUACAUGUACAUGUACAUAUGCAUCUGUAUAUGUAUAUGUAUGUAUGGAUGUAAAUUAAAAAAGAAAAGAUCGUCAUAUAUAUUUUAUCUAAAAUUCACUUUUUUAGCUUUUUUGAUUCGUCAUUGAUUUUUUUAUACCAAUUUAUUCUAAUAUUUUCUUUUCAAUUGAUAAUAUAGUUAAUUAAUUCAAUCUCUUCAAAUCUUCUCUCUCUUUUUUCAAAAUUGGAAUCAUAUCUUUUAAUCGACAUUUAAAUUGAAUAAAUUAUAAUAAUAACUAAAACAAUAAUAUGUACUUAUUAUGAACUAAGAAUAUCAAUAAUAACAAAAAACUACAAACUAAAGUUAGAAUUAUAAAGCAUCGCUCAAGAAUUUGAUAAGUUGGUAUUCAUAUAACCGCAUCGGAAUAGUCUCCUUCAGUUGCUUGUAAUUCUUGAAAUUUUGAAAAAGACACUAAAAAGUAAUUUUUGUUCUUUUGUAAUUGUAAGCAAGAACAUUAACUAAGUUGUCAGUAAAUUUCACAAAGUAAGAGAACACUCAAUAUUGAUAAUUAAAGAGAGAAUAGAAGGUUAUAGGAUAGAUGAAUAUAAGGUGACAAUAGUGUAGCCCAAGUUAUUAGGAGAUAAUGUAAUUAAGAAAAUUUAGUUCCACACAUGAAAAACUAUUCCCAAAAAUGAUAUUUCGUUAUCCUAAAACCAACAGUAGCCAUUUUAAAUAUUUAAUUCCUUAUCAAUUUUUUUAUUAAAGAAGAAUUUGUAAGUAAAUUUUUUUUUUUAAUAAACAAGUAUAAAUACAUUCUUUCAAAAAAAGAGGCCCCAAUUUCUUGGGAGCCGCAAGCGGUUGUUUUAAUGGCCUAGUGGCUAAGACGGACCUGAUGGCAACUAUGGAUUGUUUGGUUGCUGGUUACAGAGGAGUUAUCCAUGUAUUUUAAACUAACAUAACUUCUUUAUACAGAAGUUAUCGUGUAUUUUAAACUAACAUAACUUCUUUAUACAUUGUUCGUUACAAACAUGCGGGAAAAUAAUCUCACAUCAAAUCUAUCUUAAGUUGGAUAAUGUUUGGUUGUUUUCUAAACAUAAUAUUAGAUACAAUGUUUGGUUCAUGUUUUUCUUUUCCGCAUAAGAAAAGUGAAUUGUGAAGCUGCUUUGACAGGUCUCUAUAAAAUUACCACUUCUGAAUUGUGAUGCAUGAGCCAGCUUGUGGCUGCUAAUUCUGCGAGACGCAGCAUACCGAUUCAUCUCAUUAGUUUCUACUUUGUCUAUUGAAGUCAAGUUUCAUUCAAUUACUUACUAAUUAAUUGUUUUGACCAACUGUUUUUAUGUAAAUAGUGAAUAGAAAAACAGCAGGAGCUAGAAUAAAUAGUUCAGUAAUAAAUACAAGAAUAUUUACUUCCAUAAUCUCAUCAGUUUUUUUCUUCAUAAUAAUGAUCAUAUAAAAUUGCAAAGGACAAAUGAAAUGAAUGUAAGUGUAACCUCGCAUCUUGCAUCCAAUCAAUCUGGACUUUGUUGUGAAAAAACAGAAACAAAUAUGGACUAUAAGCCACAAGAGUUGCAGUUAAAAACAUGUUUUUUUUCAGCUCCAAGAAAAAGCCUUCUUUUGUCAAGUUCAAUACCAUCCAAUGAACACACCAGAGCUGCACUAAGCAUCAGAGGGGGUCAUCCAAAACCAUCAAGUGCAGAAGUAACUUUCUGAUAACAGAUAUUCAAUAUCUGUCUUUGUAAGUUGUUCCAUAAACGAUCAGGUAAGGUAUGGUUCGUACAACUGUGUCAAUCGGUAUGGCAAAGUUAACCCCUGAGGACAUACCCGAGCCUGCAACAUGAUUGAAAUCUCAAAAGCAGUUACAAAUUUCUUCAGAUUCUUUCUUUCUGAAACUAAGUUUCUGUAUAUAUAAAACAUUAGCAACUGAAAUGACUAUAAGACGGUCAAAUAUCUGGUAUAGUUUUACAGAUUCACCUGUCCAACUCUACAGCAUCAACAUGAGCCUUAAUUUCUUUCAGAUCACGUGAUUUUGCAGGACAUUACUAAAGGCUACGUUGCUCGAACUCUUCAAGACUGAAGCCGGGUGGAUGUUAAAUCCUCCAAAAAUAGUUCAUUGUUGGAGGAUCCAACACUGGUGCGGCAACAUUUUUGUAGAGUCCAAGCAACAUAGAUUACAGGUGCUUUAGUAAAAUCAUAAAAUGAUGUAACCUGUAGGCUAAUCAAGAUUUAAUAGGAAAUAUGUUAAUCAUUCUAGAAAUUUGUGUAAGUAGGCUUCCACAUACUUUGUCAUAGGCCAUCAGGGAAAAAGGUGGUGAACUACCUUUUGAUUAGGCUUAUCAGGGAACUUUCAGAUUUUGAUUAGACCUAAGAUAAUCCUAAAAGUUUGCAAUCAACCUACAAUUAAAUCUCUUUAGCAUACUUGUUUAAUUUCAAGAUUUUUCUUUAUACUUAUUUGGAGAAUAUUAUUGAUAUGGAUCAACUCCUUUCAAAUUCCCAUGGCAAUACGUUAUAUAUCACUUAUUAGUAUUUUAAUUAACACUGUUAUACAUUAUACGAUACGUGAAAAUGAGCAUAAAAGCAAGAAAGUCAAUUCACCAUAAACAGAGAUCCCUCAUUGUGAAACUAACCUUCAUCUAGCACAUUUCUGGAUCAAAGAUGAUCUAAAAGAAACCAGUUUGAAUUUUAUCAAACUUAAGACUAUAAAUUUGAUCAUCUAACUAUGGAUAAAUCCAGAUUAUUAAAAUUCCCGAGUAGUCAGUAGCAGUAAACUUUGAAGAUUCUAAUUUCUAACAAUCUACUCUCCUAAUUUGGAUUUAUUCUUGACAAACUCUUAGCAAUGAAUAACUUCUGAUCCUUCUUGAGGGGGUUCAUGAUAAAAUGCACAUCUUUUACACCUUGUUAUGAAAGGAUAGUCAACGAAUGUACAUGUUCUGACAUGCUUUAGAUCACUGAAUGCUAAUGUCAAAUAAUAAGCAGUUAUUUGACCUGCAUACAAAGUUUGACCAAAAAGUAUUUAAACGACAAUUGAUAAAAGUAGUUGAUUGUGCGUAUGUUCUGCAGUAUCAGUCUAUCAGGGUAGAGGGAAAAUGUCAUGACCUGUAUUAAUGGUCGCGUGAGAGACAUACAUUAGGGUCACGUGAGAGGCACGGGCAGUCCACUUCCAUAUAAACACAUUGAACUAUUGUGAAGGAGGAAAACGAAUUAUUUUGGUAAAAUCCCAACGAUCUUUUCCUCUCAUUCUCUCAUUUCUCUCUCUUCUUCCUAACUAUUUCUUCCUCCUCUCGACUAAUUCUAUCCCUAAUCGCCAUUGAAGGUGACAAUUGGAGCUUCCAUGGCGACUUAUCUCUCGUAGUAUCCAAUUCAAUUUAUCAAUUGUAAUAGCUAGUUUGUAUUGAAUUUGGAUUAGCAAUAAAAAUUCCCCUUUUGUGAUUUCAAUUUCUCUUUCAUUAUCGAUGUACAUAACAGAAAAGCUAAUAUAUUUUUCCGCGGGGAAGGACAGUAUUAGAUCCCAAAAAUUUAACAGUUACCUAAUACAUUUGCUUAGGAUACUGUUGAGAUGCUUGAUGAUUCAAUGUAGUGCAAAAUUUAAACAAUUAUAAUUUGGAAAAUGAGAAUAUAAUGAUCAAUGAUUUUACUUCUAUCCUGGUCAACAUAGAGCAGAAGAAUCAACAUGUUCUGUGUAAAGAUAAGAAGCAACUUGCUUUGAAUAAUGUCAGCAAGCAAUGAACCAGCAGAUGCAGACCUUCCAGCCUUCCAUUACAUCUAUUACCUCUUCAAAAUCACACUACAGAAUAUCCAAGAACAUACAAUUUCCCCGCAAAAAGCUCUCCAUGCCUACUCUUAGAAAGAACACUAUUUUCUUUAGUUUGGUAGUUCUCCCGACCGUAAGACACUCUAUAAGUAAGGUUAAUUGAAGGCCAGGGAAAGUUUAUUGGCAAGAGGGGAACCAUUUCUCACCCAGCCCUACCUACCCUAUGUAUUCGAGGGAGAGGCUGGAUCCAAAAAAGACCAGGUUCCACACACAUGGGACAUGCAAAAAGUAUGGGACGAGCAGUUUCUUGAAGAACAAAUUUGAUCCUAUACUCUCUUAAACAAAGGAUCACCAAUAAGAAAGAGGAGAAACAAAAGAUGAAUAUCAAAAAGUGUAUUCUUACAAAAGUUCCGGAAAAGUCUCAAGAGAUUUAUACUCGUCCAACAUUUCACCAAGUUGUUGAGGCUUCAGAAGCAUAAACCCACUCAAUAGGAAAAUGGACUAGGGAGAUUCUAUUCAGGAUUCCUCAUUAAUUAAUAUUUCUAUUAAAUAACAACAACAACAACAACAAACCCAGUGUAUUCCCACCUAGUGGGGUCUGGGGGGGGUAAGAUGUACGCAGUCCAUACCUCUACCUCUACCUCUGAAGAAGUAGAAAGGCUGUUUCCGAUAGACCCCCGGCUCGAGGCACGAGAUACCACACAAACACAUAGUAAAGCACAGAAGCAGAUUACAUAACAUAAAUACGGCACCCAUAAGUAAUAUAAAACAGAGGAGAUCAGAGGAAAGCACACAGAUUCGUAAUGAAACAUGGAACACGGAACACGGAAUCAUAACAGGAAUAAAAUCCCCACCAAGUAACUCCCUACACUAGUGACCCAAACUGGCCCUAGCCCUCUGCCGUAAUUCGCGUCCUCCAGACCUUCCUAUCUAGGGUCAUGUCCUCGGUGAGCUGUAACUGUUCCAUGUCCCGCCUAAUCACCUCACCCCAGUACUUCUUCGGCCUACCCCUACCCCGCCUAAAACCAUCCAACGCUAGCCUCUCACACCUACGGACCGGGGCAUCCAUGCCCCUCCUCUUCACGUGUCCGAACCAUCUCAAUCGUGCUUCCCGCAUCUUACACUCCACUGAAGUCACACCAACCUUCUCCCGGAUAGUCUCAUUCCGAACUCUAUCCCCUCGAGUCAGUCCACACAUCCAGCGCAACAUCCGCAUUUCUGCCACCUUCAUUCUUUGGAUGUGGGAGUUCUUAACUGGCCAACACUCCGCUCCAUACAACAAGGCCGGACGGACUACCACCCUGUAGAAUUUGCCUUUAAGCUUGGGCGGCACCUUCUUAUCACACAGCACCCCCGACGCGAGCUUCCACUUCAUCCAUCCCGCCCCAAUACGAUGCGAGACAUCCUCGUCAAUCUCACCGUUACUCUGGAUCACGGACCCAAGAUACUUGAAAUUAUCCCUCUUACAUACCUCCUGUUCUUCCAGCUUCACUACUACCUCAUUCUCCCGCCUCACGUCAUUAAACUUGCAUUCCACAUACUCUGUCUUGCUUCUGCUCACCCUGAACCCUUUAGACUCAAGAGUUUGCCUCCACACCUCUAAUUUGUCAUUCACACCCCCUCGAGUCUCAUCUAUCAAGACUACAUCGUCUGCAAAAAGCAUACACCACGGCACCUCCCCUUGAAUACGCCGCGUCAACACAUCCAUCACCAACGCAAACAAAAAGGGACUAAGAGUAGAUCCCUGAUGCAAUUCUGUCAGGACAGUGAAAUGCUCUGAGUCUCAAAAGUAAUGAAUUCUUACCUCUGCGGGUGAACGUUGCUGUAUUUACACCAAUUACAUGACCAGAUGAAUCAAUCAACGGGCCACCUGAAUUCCCUGCAUAAUUUACUAAAGGUCAAACUAAACCUUACUGUACAUGCAUAACUUGAUGAAUCAUGAGUUAUAAUCAAGUAAAAGUACUCUACUUUGACAGUUUCUACAGUUAGAAAUUGAACUUCACCCGCUAAAUCAAACUGGCAUUCAACCAUGUUGGUGUCCUCGUAUAAACCAGAUAAACAACCAUUUGACUGGCUCACAUCCCACUCAAACAAUUGAUAGUGCACAGCGGGUGACAAAAUUAGCCCAUGAAAACAUGAUCCCGCCAACCUGUCCAAAUCUGGGCUGGUCAUUUAUUAGCUCAGAUUAUCUAAAAGUUGGGCUGGAUAUGUAGCCUAAAUUGAUCUUGUUAAAAUAUUUUCAAAAACACUUCUUAUCUGAUGACUGAUAUGCUACAUAACGCCAUAAUAAAGAAAAAGAUAGUUUUUGCUAAGUACUAAAAUCUUAUAAAAGAACAAACAAUGAAACUAAAACUUAGUAUAAAUUGGGUCGGUUGGGCUAUGAUCCGCUUUUUAGCCCAUUUCAGCCCAACCCCAUCAUUUAUUAACACAACUCAUUUUGAAACACUUCAUAUCUGAUGACUGAUAUGCUACAUAACGCCAUAAUGAAGAAAAAGAUAGGUUUACUAAGUACCAAAAUCUUAUAAAAGAACAAUGAAACUAAAACAUAGUAUGAAUUGGGUCGGUUGGGUUAUGAUCCGCUGUUUAGCCCAUUUCAGCCCAACCCUGUCAUUUAUUAACACAACUCAUUUUGACUUGACUAUUUGACACCCCUACUUGUGCUAUUCACCAAAAUUUUCUCCCAAACAAUAAAAUAUUCUGUUGGAAAUAUCAAUUGAGUCGGUCCACCCAUAAGGGGUGUUGAAUAGCUUGUUAGCCCAUUAGUUUUUCCUCCUCCUUAAUCCGAAAACUAGUGCAUAAAUACACCAUUAUGGAUGUAGGAAAACUAAAGUUUUUCCACAUUAGAUGGCGAUUAUGAUUUACAAAAGAGAAAAACACUCUACAUCCCCCCAAGGAUAUCUAGGUUGUGAAUAAAGGGAGUUCAUCCACUUUGUGAGGAUUCCCGACGACCGGUGAUACGAGUGCUGGUUUGUUGCAGACCCGCUUUCGCUAUGGAGAAACCCGUACGUCUUCUAAAACUAGUAUUUCCCGAUUCACAAUACUAGAUAUCUUAUACAGGAAAACUAAAUAAAAAUGUUUACCGGCAUUAAUAGCAGCAUCUGUUUGAAUAGCUCCUUUAAUUGUAGCUCCAUUUGGUGCAGGUAUUUCCCUGCCUAAUCCACUAACUACCUGUAAUAUUUGAAGUAAUCAGAUAAACAGUAACAACUUAUUAUUUAUCUUUUUACCCUAUGACUAACUGUUUUUUUACCUUUCCCAUUUGCAUGGAGCAACAUGAGCAAACAAUUUAAAAAAUUCAUCAGUUUCAUGAUUUUGGUUCCCUUUUGACUAGGUAUGACUGAACUAUAAAGAGUUGAUAGUUUAAAACAUUUUUAGGAUACUGAGAGUAAAAAAAAACAAAAAGGCAGACCGGUGCACUAAAACUCCCGCUGUGCAGGGGUCCAAGUAAGGGUCAGACCACAACGAUAUUAAGAGUAUGAGUUGACUUUUCCUUAGUUUAUAUCAAAUGAAAACUAUACACAGCAAAAGGAGAGAGCUGCUUUUUAUUGAAAUGGAAACAUUUAACAUCCUUAGAGGAAAUCAAUAUUACAAGUUACAUAUAGAAUAGGUUUAACAGAAUGCAUGAAAAAUAGAUGCUAGAAGGGCUCUUCCCUGGAAAUGAAACCAUAAAUGAGUCUCCGCACGGGUAUAUUUCUUAACUGUAAAUAAACUGUAGAUAUGUAUUACCCCGGUUGUCAGAGUGUUUUCAAAUCCAUAGGGAUUUCCAAUGGCAAAACAACUUUGACCUACACGUAAGCCACGAGAGGUACCAACAGAGACUGGUUUUACUUCAACACCUUCAACAUCAACCUGCAGUUGGAUAAGAGACGAUUAAACCCAAGGAACUCUUUAACUGACCAGCUUCUAUAGAUAUCCGAAGUAGUUAUAUAACGCUAUUUUGCACAUAAUUUUUUAUUCAAGUUUUAGUACCCAUUCUCCUUUAACAGUUCAUUUUCACUAGAUCUAAUCUAAGAGAAGUAUUUUCGCUUGUCUCUAUAAAAUUGCUUUAUUGUUAAACGAGAGAAGCAAUGACAAAUAACAAUUGAGAUUUUGGAGCAGGAGGGGUUUUCGGUAACUGUAUGUCAACAACAAACAACCCCUCAGUCCACAAGGGUUUAAACUGUGGAAACAGCCUCCGACAGAGAUGCAACGUAAGGUUACGUACAAUAAAUCCUUGUGGUUCGGCCAUUCCCCAGACCUUGUAGAUAGUGGGAGCUUUAGGACACCAGACUGCCCUUUUUAUAUAAAUUUAUGAUACGGCCAAAAUACUCUUAGGAACGAUGGUGUGGAGGACACAAAUUAGGGUAGAAGGUUAGUAGGUAGGAGUGCAUCCACAUUAGUAGGAAGGAGUGCAUUGUCUUGUUGCCUUUACUCGUAGUCUUAGGACUACUCUUGUAGUUUCUCGUUUGUUGAUCUCUGAUAUUAUCUAUUGUUUCGUGUAGUUCGAAUGUUGCAUUAUUUGGUCAUAGUACUAUUUUGCUACUAUUUGUUACUAUCUAUUUUCUCUUCUACUUACAUUACGUCUUUCUAUAGUCUGUUUUAGUCUUGAGUCAGGAGUCUAUCAGAAGCAGCCUCGCUACCUUACGUUUGAGGUAGAGGUAAGGUCCGCGUCCACUCUACCCUCCCUUAGACCCCACUUUGUGGGACUACACUGGAUACAUUGUUGUCAAAAUACACUUAGAAAAGCAAUAGGUUCAAAAUCAACAUACUAAUUCCGACUCUGUGAGCUUGCUCAUACUGCUAGUCUCAAGCCCAGAUAAAGUAUGAGGGGUUGCAAUAGAUUGGCAGCCUAUGUAAAACUUGCCAACUCAUCAUGAAUCCUCAUAAUACAGACUUAAACUUGAAAACCUUGUAUAUAAUUUCUGAGGCGGGAAUGGGAUGCCUUAUGCUAAGUGCUUAAAACUUUUAUCAAAUUGAUCCCCAAUAAUUUCACCAGCAUAGGAUGAUGACGAUUCUGUCUCUACUCCACAGGUAGAAGUAGCAUCUUUUUACUUUAAGAUUUUGUUCCACAAUCGCUAAUGUAAGAUAUACACCAAAACUAAUAUUGUAACAUCAGUGCGCACUCAAAUAUUGUCAUAUAAAAUAGAAUGGAAGGAGUUAGAUAAUGUCCUGUUUGUCACAGUUUGCUUCAACUAACCAAUCUAUAAGGAGAAAUCUGGAUAGUUCUUCCAGAUAACUGAAUAAUCUGCAUCAUCAGUAUUUGCAUCAAGGUUUCUACAUGGAGAAGAAAGGACCUAAAGUUCACCAUCUAAGCUUUGCUGAUGAUGUUAUAAUCUUUUCUUCCAUAUCCAAGUUUUCUCUUCAGCUUGUCAUGAAGAUGUUGCAUAAAUAUGAGGAAUGACCAGGUCAGCUAAUCAAUAGGGAUAAGUGUCAUUUUAUGAUACGUGAGAAAUCACCAGAAGAUGCUAAGCUAUUGCUAGAGUGAUAGAUCUUACAGGAUUCACUUUGAAAGAAAGUCCUAUCACUUACCUUGGUUACGCAAUAUACGUUGGGGGUAGGAGGGUGAUUUAUAUUUCCAGCAUGAUCUCUGAAGUCCAGACCAAGAUUAAGGGCUGGGAAAUCAGAUUACUCAGUUAUGGAGGAAGGAUUGCAUUAAUCAAGUCUGUGUUACAGUCUCUUCCUGUACACAUUUUUUCUGCUAUGUCCCCCCUACAAAAACUACUCUCAAACAGAUCAAAAGCUUACAGCAGACUUCUUUUGGGGAUGGAAAAAGAAGAAGAAAUAUCACUGGGCUUCCUGGGAAACACUUAGUUUCCCUUGUGCUGAAGGAGGUGUUGGUGUAAGGCAAUUAGAAGACAUUUGUUUAGCUAUGCAGUAUAAGCAAUGGUGGAAUUUUAGAUCAAGAAAAUCUUUAUGGGUUGAUUUUCUGAGAUCUAAAUACUGUCAAAGAGCUAAUCCUGUGAUCAAAAAAUGGGCUAAAGGGCAAUCAUUGGUCUGAAAAUACAUGAUGCAGAACAAGGUGGAGGGUUGAGAAACAUAUUCAGUGGAUAUCAAUUCUGGCAAUUGUUGUUUUUGGGGGAAUGAUUGGCAGUGGAGGGCCUCUGGAUGCUCCCCCCGACGAUUUGGUGCAUAAGAUCCUUUAUACAUCAACUAAGUAUCAAGCAAAUAUACUCUUAGUAAUAGACAGAUUUGGAACAGACACAUCCGUUUUAAAGUGUCUUUUCUAGUUUGGAGGGCUCUCAGAAACAAACUACCUACGAUUGAUAAGAUCAUAACCUUUGGUCAGAAGGCUGCAGCUUGUAGUUGCUGUACUAAACCUGGUGUGGACACUAGUGAUCACUUAUUUGUGUCAGGCAGUUUUGCCAAUCAUCUUUGGAACAUCUUCUCCAACAGUUUGGGCAUUAGUCAUAAAACCAUGCCUUCAUCUAACCUACUGAUGAGAUGGUGGUGUGUAAAGCAUCAUACUGAAGUACACAGGCUGAUUCUACAAACUCUUCCUAGCUUCUUGUGCUGGAAUCUGUGGAAGAACAGAUGUGCAAACAAGUAUGGAGGUAAGAAGUCUAGCAGUGCUAGAGUCAGAUUUGCCGUUGUGAAGGACAUCCAUAUGCAAUGCUCUACUGCAGUUCCCUAUAUUUCCUGGCCACUUGACUGGAGGGUGCUGAUUCAGCAAAUGGAGAAAUGCCAACACGAGGUGAAAGUAAUACAGGUCUGUUGGACUAAGCCUGCUCACACUCGGGUCAAACUCAAUACAGAUGGUAGUGCUUUAAAUAAUCCAGGUAAGUAUAGGGGCUGGAGGGAUACUGAGGGAUCAUGUGGGCAGUUUAAUCUAUGCAUUUGCAGCUCCUUUGGGGAUUGGAACUAAUAAUCAAGCAGAAUUGCAGGCAGCCAUCAUAGGCAUCACCUGGUGUAUUCAGCAUGGAUAUAGUAGGGUGGUAUUGGAGGUUAAUUUUCAGCUCCUAGUUAAGUGGUUGAAAGCAGACAGUCAUCCUCCUUGGAGUAUUCAUAAAUACAUUGUGGAAUUACAAGAGCUAGUACUUUCACUUGAAUCUUUCCAAUGUCAACACAUCUAUAGGGAGGCCAACUUUACUGCUGAUGCUCUCUCUAAACAGAGUCAUCUGGUUGCUGAUGUACAACAAUAUUACUCUGCUCAACAACUUCCUGAGGAAGCUAAAGGAUACUUCAGAUUGGACAAGAUGGGAAUGUCAAGCUUCAGAAGAAAGAAAAAGAGAGCAUUAAAAUACCGCCACAGGUUGCUGAUCUUAAGUGGUCUGAUGCAGGACAAGCACUGAAUAGAUACUCAUCUAGCUUACUAUUGUACCAUUCUUUAUAUCUAGUUCUUUAGCAAGUUUAGUUACUAGGUACUGCUUAGUAUGGGAAAGUGCUGGUAUUCCUUAGUAGGUUCACUGACUCUAGUACCACCUUAAGGUGUUUGGAGGUAAGGUUUUAUGUCCCCCUCCCUUGUACUGAUUUUCUCUUUGAUUAAUAAAAAUUGUUUUUUGUUUAAAAAAAAAUAAUUAUCAGUAUAAAUCCGACCAACAUUAUUUAAGUAAUAUAUUGAUUUAGCACCUUGAGAACAGCCAGAUCAUAUGCUGGAUCAACACCUAUGAUCUUCGCUUCCUUAGCUAUGCUUUCUCCUUUAGCAUUCACCAAAGAAACCUGAAAAGGAAACCUUUAAAUUAGCAUCAUCUGAAUGAAGCAGUCCUGUUAAACAUCCAGAUAAGAACUGAAAACAAAGGGAUAUAAAACACCAGGAAUGCAGAAAACCUUACAACGCUGCAGUCCACUGCUAUCAGUAGCUAAUUUAGCAAUGACAUGGUAAUUGGUUACCUGCGAUAAACCCAAAAUAAUCAUGCCCCAUGCGCCGUGAACUGUCUUAUUUCAGAAUUAUACGUCUAUUGUAUUUGUUCAGUACUGAAACAAAUUUACAGAAAAUUCAAAGCAAGAUUUGAAGCAGGGUUAUUUGAACGAGAUAACCGAAUUUCAACCGUGUGAAAACUUUGCAGGCAAGAAACAAAAAACCACUGGAAUCCUAAAUUCAAGUCUUACACCAGGCAUUUAACUUUCUUGAGAUAAGCAGGAGAAAAUUCAUCCAGUUAACAUGGAACAUUCAGAUAUGCAUUGCGAAUUUGAAAAUACUUAAAGUCAUAAAAUCGUACAAUGUGACCAAACUUAUCCCAUAUGAAGCCCGAACCUGUCCCUUGCACUUUUGCAUUCUCAUCGUUGGCUAGCACCUUAGUAGAGUCAUUGGAGCCUUUAGCCAGCUCAAGGUCCUUAAUGAAAACAACAGAAGGGGAAGUUUCCUGCAUUUGCAUCAUUAGUUCUGUUACUACAUUUCGAACUGUUAAACUUACCAAUAAAUAAACUUGAUAAGGCAAAGAUGAAGAUUUGGUGUUUUCAUUCUAUUGUUGUUGCAAAAAUAUUUUUGGAAGAUUUAUUCAUGACCUUACUAAGAAACAUUUAAAUUUCUAUAGGUCUGAUUUACGCCUUCUUACUGAUAUUGAACUAUAUUAACUUUCUGGGGAGCAACACACCACUGCAAAGGGCUUAGGACGAUCUUAUUAUUCAACCUAUCAGUCCACUUAGAUGUCCAGUACUAAUUAUCUUGGAAAUGCCGCAAAUGUCAGUUUGGUUAUUUGUUUCCUUCGUAGUAUAGUUGGGAAAGGAUGAGAAACCUUACAUCAGUUAAGCAAUCUGAAGAUACUGCAAACUGAGGAAAACAUUUUAGAUUACAUAAUUAUAGGAACUUCAUAUGUGUUUCAUUUACUCUUACAUGAAUCCUUAGUCAUUCAAGGUGGGAGCAACGUUCUUCAGAAUAACGCGGAAAUUAUCUGAUCAGAACAAAGUCAAUUCUUUUCUACAUCUUCUAAUCAGUGACAUGAGACACGUGUCUUUCAAAUACAACAAGAUUUUGACAAGGUUAACAAUGGCUGCAAAGUAAGCAUACACGUCACAACUAACAGUCACACUAAUACUCAAGUCCAACAGUAUAUUAUCCUAACGAAGAUACCUGACUCACAAAGUUCAGUUAAUACACUACUAAAAACAAAGGCUUUUCCCACCUCGAAUUAAUGGGAAAUUUAUGUUAUUAAACAUGAUUUUCCCACUCCAUUCCCACCGAAACAGCUCACACGAAAACGCAUGGUUGGAAACAGAUUCUCAUUGAAAUAUUGAGAAACCUCCUAAUUUUUCAGUGUGAAACACUACUAUUUUUUCUUUUCUCAUUGUGGAAACAGCCGCUGAACAUUUUUUUAAUGGGAAAUUCCAAUGGGAAAUAGUGAGUUUUUAGUAGUGAUAUAUAAAGGCUUCUUACUUCAAGACAUCCAAUUUUCAAUCUUCACUUUCCAUACACUAGCAAAUGGUCUGGGGAUUAACUUUGUAGGCUUAAACCAGACGAGGGUAAAUUGAUAAUCAUUAAUUCCUUUUUAUAUGACAGCAGUCUAUGUUUUAUAUUAGUUAUAAUGAAAGACCCAUAGUAUUUAUUCAAAAGUUAGUUUGAUAAGCUUUACAUUGAAGUUUAAUAAAUUUGAAUCACUGAAAGUUGCAUAAAAAUAGAAUAGUUCAGUUGUUCAAACAUUUUUGCAUCGUUCAAGACUGUUACAUAAAUUGAGAUGAGGGGAACAACAUUUACUUGAUAUAGGGCUGUAAAGUAUUUUUGACUCUUCUCAGUACAAAAUGGUUCUUAGUAGUGCUAAUCAAAUUGUUCCAGGUUCCUACUCCAAUUGAAAGAAAUGGUUUUAUUCACCGGUUCAAUUUUUUCAACAAUAGAACACAAAAAGAUCCAAAUUGGCAACAUAGUUCAUCGUUAAUUUUUUCUGCAUUUGGGCUAUAUACUAAAUAACUAAUCCACAAGCACACAAGGGUGGAGCAGAACAUCGGUCCCAGUUUCAAAUUCAAAUAGAGACAAAAACAUGUUUUUUUUUUUUGUUUUUGUGUUCGUGGAAAACACCAAAUAACACAAGAAAUUAGUCUAGGUGCAUGCAAAUUGACCGGAUAUCAAGAUUAUCCAAACAAAAGUACUACCUUCAUCUAUUUUUACUUGUUCAUUAUACUAAUUAAAAACAAGUGUUCCUUUUUACUUGUCCAAUUUAAAGAACCAAAGAGAUAAUUUAUUAUUUUAUAUCUAUUUUACCUUUAUUAUAAGAAAUACUCAUUUCUUUCAAUAAUUAUGGUUGAAAUAGUAUUAUUACUUCUUUUAUUUCAAUUUAGAGAAAAUGAUCAAACGUUCCCCCAACCUUUACCCCAAAUCCAACUACACACCUAUACUUUACGGGGGUCUUAUGACCCCCUGAACUAUUUUAAAGUGGAAUUAUUACCUCCGAAAACUGACAUGGCUAGAGAGUGAAUUUCACUCUCUUUAAAGAGAGUGAGAACGUAAAUUAUUUAUUAAAAAUUUAUUUUUAAUAUUUUUUUAUUUUCUUUAUUCAAUUUUAAUUAUUCUUUUUCUUUAUUCAUUUUCCUUUCCCUUCCCUUCCUCUUCAUUCUCACAAACAAAAACUUCAAGAACUCAUCAAUGGCAUCCAAGAUUAAUUUAUCAUCUUCCUCAUCUCCAAGCACAAAAUCGAUUGGUUCCGACUUAAAGUUCGUUGAAAAUUUCAAAAUGGGUAUUGUUCCUUAUUUUCAACUUCAAGAUCUUCGGAAAUUUCAAAAUCGAUAUUGUCCAUUAUUUUCGACCUCAAGGUCGUCGUAAAUUUUAAAAUGGGUAUUGUCCAUUCUUUCCGACUUCCAAGUCGUCGAAAAUUUCAAAAUUCUUUAUUGUUUCCGACUUUAAGGUCAUCGAAAAUUUUAAAUUUGGUAUUGUUCAUUGUUUCCGGCUUCAAGGUCGUCGGAAAUUUUGAAAUUGAUAUUGUUCGUUGUUUCCGGAUUUAAGAUAGUCGGAAAUUUAAUAACUGAUAUUGUUCAUUGUUUCCCACUUCAAGGUUGUCGAAAAUUUUAAAUUCGAUGUCGUUUAUUAUUUCCGACUUCAAGAUCGUCAGAAUUUCAAAAUCGAUAUUAUCCAAUAUUUCCGACUUCAAGGUCAUCGUAAAUUUUAAAAUGAGUAUUGCCCAUUGUUUCCGACUUCAAGGUCGUUGAAAAUUUCAAAAUUUCUCAAUUGUUUCCGACUUUAAGGUCAUCGAAAAAUUUUAAUUUGGUAUUGUUCAUUGUCGGAGGGGGACAGAGCUAUUGUGUUAGGGGAACUGGAGCACUCAGAGGAGUGUCGGGAUUUUAGCUAUUGUAGACGUUUUAAGGUAGAAGAGGUUAGACAGACAGUCCGCAGGAUGCGUAGGGGUAGGGCGACGGGGCCGGAUGAGAUACCGGUGGAGUUUUGGAAGUUCGUUGGAGAGGCUGGUAUAAAGUGGUUGACUGGAUUGUUUAAUGAAAUUUUCAGGACGGCAAAGAUGCCCGAGGCGUGGAGGUGGAGUACCAUGAUCCCUCUCUAUAAGAAUAAGGGGGACAUUCAGAGUUGUAAUAACUAUAGGGGGAUUAAGUUAUUGAGUCACUCUAUGAAGAUCUGGGAGAGAGUGGUCGAGGUGAGGCUGAGACGGAUAGUGUCUAUCUCGGAAAACCAGUUCGGAUUUAUGCCCGGCCGCUCGACGACGGAGGCAAUCCACCUGGUACGGAGGUUGGCGGAGCAGUAUAGGGAAAGGAAGAAGGAUCUGCACAUGGUGUUCAUCGACCUGGAAAAGGCGUACGACAAAGUCCCCAGGGAAGUGCUUUGGAGAUGCUUGGAGGUGAGGGGAGUACCGCAGGCAUAUAUCAGAGUAAUUAAGGAUAUGUAUGAGGGAGCGAAAACCCAGGUGAGGACGGCGGGAGGAGACUCAGAGCAUUUCACUGUCCUGACAGGAUUGCACCAGGGAUCUACUCUUAGUCCCUUUUUGUUUGCGUUAGUAAUGGAUGUGUUGACGCGGCGUAUCCAAGGGGAGGUGCCGUGGUGUAUGCUUUUUGCAGACGAUGUAGUCCUGAUAGAUGAGACUCGAGGGGGUGUGAAUGACAAAUUAGAGUUGUGGAGGCAAACUCUGGAGUCUAAAGGGUUCAGGGUGAGCAGAACCAAGACAGAGUAUGUGGAAUGUAAGUUUAAUGACGUGAGGCGGGAGAAUGAGGUAGUAGUGAGGCUAGAAGCACAGGAGGUAGGGAAGAGGGAUAAGUUCAAGUAUCUCGGGUCCGUGAUCCAGAGUAACGGUGAGAUUGACGAGGAUGUCUCGCACCGUAUUGGGGCGGGAUGGAUGAAGUGGAAACUCGCAUCGGGGGUGCUGUGUGAUAAGAAGGUGCCGCCCAAGCUUAAAGGCAAAUUCUAUAGGGUGGUAGUCCGUCCGGCCUUGCUGUAUGGAGCGGAGUGUUGGCCAGUUAAGAACUCCCACAUCCAAAAAAUGAAGGUGGCAGAAAUGCGGAUGUUGCGCUGGAUGUGUGGACUGACCCGAGGGGAUAGAGUUCGGAAUGAGACUAUCCGGGAGAAGGUUGGUGUGACUUCAGUGGAGUGUAAGAUGCGGGAAGCACGAUUGAGAUGGUUCGGACACGUGAAGAGGAGGGGCACGGAUGCCCCGGUCCGUAGGUGUGAGAGGCUAGCGUUGGAUGGUUUUAGACGGGGUAGGGGUAGACCGAAGAAGUACUGGGGUGAGGUGAUUAGGCGGGACAUGGAACAGUUACAGCUCACCGAGGACAUGACCCUAGAUAGGAAGGUCUGGAAGUGGGGGUUUUUUAAUUUUUUAUUUUUUAUUCCCGUUAUGAUUCCGUAUUCAGUGUUCCAUGCUUAUUACGAAUCUGUGUGCUUUCCUCUGCUUUCCUCUGUUUUAAAAUCCUUAUGGGUGCCGUAUUUAUGUUAUGUUAUGUCAUCUGCUUCUGUGCUUUACUAUGUGUUUGUGUGAUAUCUUGUGCCUUGAGCCGGGGGUCUUCCGGAAACAGCCUUUCUACUUCAUCAGAGGUAGAGGUAUGGACUGCGUACAUCUUACCCCCCAGACCCCACUAAGUGGGAAUACACUGGGUUUGUUGUUGUUGUUGUUGGUAUUGUUCAUUGUUUCCGGCUUCAAGGUCGUCGAAAAUUUUGAAAUUAGUAUCGUUCGUUGUUUCCGGAUUUAAGAUCGUCGGAAAUUUAAUAAUGACAUUGUUCAUUGUUUCCCACUUCAAGGUUGUAGAAAAUUUCAAAUUCGAUGUUGUUUAUUAUUUCCGACUUCAAAAUCAUUGGAAAUUUCAAAUUCGAUAUUAUCCAUUAUUUUCCACUUCAAGUUCAUUGAAAAAUUGUUCAAGUUUGAAAAGGAAAAGAGAUGAAAAGUAAUGGUGAAAAAAUGAUAAAAAGUGAUAAAAAUGGGGAAUAAAGUAAAUAAAAAUUAAUUUUAAAUAAAAAAUAUGUGUAAAAAUGUUGUAGGUGCGUGCAUCAUAUCAAAUUCCAAAUGACUGGUUGUCAGUUUUUGGGUAAUAAUUUCACUUUAAAAUAGUUCAGGGGUCAUAGACCCCGCAAAGUAUAAGUGUAUAGUUGAGAUUUAGGAUAAAGGUUGGGGGAACUUUUGGCCCUUUUCUUUUCAAUUUAUGUGGCAUCAUAGAAUUUUCAAAAGUUAAACAAUUUAGUUUUGACCGUGAGUUUAGGCAUGGAUUCUUUAUCUUUUUGAGAUAAAAUUUAUAUAUUUAUAAACUACAUAAAAUUAUAUAAGACACAAUAAUUGAUAAUCUAAAAUAUUUAAAAGACAUGAAAAAGCUACGUGGAGAAAAGACUUAUUUGAAUCUCUAAAUGGAAAGGUGACACAAAAAUUAGGAUGGAGAAAGUACAGGUACACAUCGGAAUGAGAAGGACAAUAAUUGGGUUUUCUUGUUGUAUUUAAUUUUAGCCAUUUUGGGUGAGGCAUUUACCUGAAAGAGUUGAACAAGUGUAUCUUCUUCUUGUUGAGGCUGAUCGAUUACGAAAGCAGUAGCAGGAGAGUGAUGAGAUGUAUAUAUUAAAGAGGAAAGCAGAGAAGCAAAUAUCAAAGAUUUACGCCUUGUCAAAUAUUGAGGGGAAGAAGAAAGAGCUGGAAGAGGAGAAUGGGACAUUUGUGUUGGAAGUGAAAGGAGGAUACGCUGCGGAGAAACAGAUCCCAACACCACCAUCGCUGCGACUGCCGCCUCCUCAACAAAUUACUUGCACACAUGACACUAGUGACUUCAAAUGAGAUAAACCUACGUGGCAAUUUUUCUUUUCUUUCUUCUUUGUUGUCUUUAAAUUUAGAGAUUUCUACCCAACCACGCACUAAGGGUUAAUUUGGUACGAUGCAACUUUUUUUUAAAAAAAUAAUGUUCUCCUGUGUAUUAAUUUUGAGUAUUAUUAAUGUCUUCUUUAAUAUAUUUUAUCAACUUAUAUAGAAUCAAAUAUAUUUUAUAUUAUGUUAUGUAUAAUUAACGAAUGACACCUUAUGACAUGGAGCAACUUCAGCUUAUCGAAGACAUGAUCUUAGAUAGAAAGUUGUGGAGGAGGCGGAUUAGGGUAGAAGGUUAGUACAAGUUUAGGUUGUUGUUUCUUUUGUUGUAUUACUUGGUGUCUCUUGAUUAUGGUAUUAGCGGAUAUUGUUGAUUUCGAUUGUAUCUUGUUCUCUUACUAUUCUUUGUACAGAUUAUUUUAUUGUGAGCCGGGGGUCUGUCGGAAACAAUCUUUUUAUCUUACAUCUGAGAUAGUGAUACGGACUGCGUACAUUUAUCCUCUCUAUACUCCACUUGGUGGAAAUAUACUGGUACGUUGUUAUUGUUGUUAUGAAAUACAUAAGCAGCCCCAUGAAUUUGUUGGGUUUUUUUUUGUGUUGGCACCCUAAUUAGUCCAUGUUCCUAUUGAACAUCUGAACCUCUCAUAAAGCGUGUCACUCAAAUACAAUCGUUUGACCUGACACAUCUUUUGAGCUUCCGUUUGUUAUGAGUUAUGUGCGUGAAAUCAAACUCGUCCCACGUGAAAAUUUCGACCAAUCAAAACACCGCAUCUAUUUUUAUUUUACACUAUCUUUUAAAAAGAAAAUCCAAAAUUACAACAACUUUUUGUUCAUUUUCUAACCCAUCCUCCUAAAAACGUUAUUGACAAAGAAAAUCCUAGAGCAUAAUUGCAUUAGUUCUUGCAAUAAACGAUAUAUUUAUGUUACUAACAAAGAAAAUCCUACAACUUUGUUAACUUUAUUUCUAAAGAGUAGAAUUAUCACUCAAAAUUGGAAUUGAUCUUUAAAAAGAAACUUGAGUCUUAAGUUGACCUUGGCGAAAUAUCCAUAAUUGCAGCUUUAUUAGAAUUCUGAUUAUUGAACAUGUAUAUGGCAGGCUCAAUUCCAAGAUCAACAACACUGUUUGGAUCUUCAAAUUUGUUAGCGAAUUUGGUGAAUUUGGUGUUCAAAUGGAAAGACUGAUCAAUAAUAUCUUGUAUGGCCCCUCACUUCAUCCAUUUUCAUAAGCAAUAAAGAGAUGAUACUUAAUGGAUCUUUUCUGUUCUUGAAUUUAGAGUCAAAAGUUUCGUAGAUGGGGAAUAAAUAUAUAUUUUUAACUAACAUCAAUAUAGGUCUAUUGAUACAAGCCGAAUUGACUCCACUUUUUUGGGGUCUAUGCUUCAAGGAUCACACGUAAGGAUCCAAGACUUGAUCGUUCUAGGGAGCAUAUACGUGAUUGGAGGAUAGCUUGAGAAGGAGCUACAUUUGAUGAUGUCAUUCGAGGGAGUAAGGAUCACAUUUGGAUAAUAGCUUGGACCUCAAAGAGCUUAGAAAUGUGACUAUUUGGACUUUUGGGUCACUUUUGAGCCCAUAAUCGUGAAUAUUUGAUUUUUGGAUCACUUUUGGACCCAAUUAGCAUUUAGGGCCACUUUUGAGCCCAGUUGUAAUAAAUGGCCUUGGCCAAUAAAUAGCUAGGACUCUUUUCAUUUUUAGGAAGAUGAUUUUGAAUGAAUGUAUACACUUGAGAGUGUUUUAUUGAGCUUGUUGGGAGCUUUAUGGAUUGUUGAGAAAUGUGGGUUGCUCGGAAUUCCAUUCCCGUGAGGUCCUCGUUAGAGGUUGGUGCUUGUGGUAAUCGAUAGGAAGGUCUUAGGGUUUGAUAUACCCUUUGGUUUUCCUCUCUUUAUCUCUUUAUGUCAAUCUAUCUAUCUUUCUUUUUACCCUCGUCUUAUUUCGUUUCCACUAUUUUCUUGUGUUUGUGUGUUGUUUUUUUCUUUUCGUAUUUAACUCUUAUAUCAUUUGAUACGAGAGUCGAGCUUGAUUUCAUUUCCACAAAGUCAAUCUUGGGGAUAUUUGUGUUGAAAAAUAAAAAAUCUCCAAAAAAAACUACUAUUCACGUUUUGGCCCUAGGUCAAAUUUUGAGUCUUCAAUUUUGUUGUUUUCUUGUGUUUUUAGAGUUAGAUUCUUGUUCCCUAACAUUAUUAGAGUCUAAAUAUCGAAUUUGAGCUUCAUCAAAGCUAUUUUGAAGAUUCUACCAUUGUUGAAAAACUAAAGUUUGAAGAUUGGAAGUAGGUGUUGAAAUCUGAAUUUUUUGGUUAAGAAUUUGAUCAAAAUGAGGCGUGGAAUGCGAUUAGAAGUUGGAAAAGAACUUAGGUUCAAAAUAUCAUCGCAUUCCGAGCAAGGGUUGAAGAGUUAGAGAUUUUUGAGUUCUUGGAGAGAUUCAAAUCUUCAUCUUGAAUUUUCUUCAGAAAGUUGGUGUUGGAUCCUAAAAAAAGAAGAAAAAGGUGUGAAAAAGUGUUAGUACAAAGCACCUUUUGAAGAUUCUAAAGAAUAUUUCAAAAAGAGGACAAAAGGGGGGGACCAUUUAAGGUACAAAGGUACAACUGCAAGCUAUGGGGCAGGUCAUGUCCGGCUGACCUGCGCUGGAAGUGUGCCUGAUUUUCUGCAGCACCCCAGACGCAUGUCAAAAUAGUGAGCAAAUAACCAGCUGCGUCCAACCUACCCUCAACCUGCGCCCAACAUACUGCCACAUUUCAAAACAGUCCACUUGCUCUUUGGCUUGCGUUUAAGGUGCGCCAAGGCUACCUAGUACAUUUCCAAAGCACCUCCAACUUUUUCCAUUUCCACCUUCAAAAACUCCAUCUACUUAGGUUCAAUCCAUUAAAUUCACCUCUUAAUUCCUCCUUUCAAUUCUUGAUACUACUUAACAACUAAAACUUAAUCUACUUAGUUGUUUAAUUAGUUUUUGUCCGUUCUUCUUUCGUGACUUAAUUCCUUAUGCUUUUUUUUUUAAUUUCUUUUCCUUAGUUUGACUUUUGAAUUCAAGUUUUACAAGUCUCUCACCACUUAAUUGAGUCAUAUACCUACACAAACAAUCAAGGCUAAUAAGUAAGCUAAUUGUGAGCCAUCCAAGCACUUGAAUUGAGAAAGUUGAUUUCACUAACACCAACCUUGUUUGUUAGUCGUGUUGAGUGUCUUGUUGAUAGGUACCAUGGCAUCGGGAGAUGACAUCCAAUCUAUCCUAAGCAGGGAAAAUUUUGAUACUCUUUGGGAAGCUAUCAUGGGAAUACAACGAAGUAUGGAUAAAAUGAGUUGAACUAUGACAUGUAUUGAAGAUAAGUUGGCAAACAUGGAGAACCGAUCCCUUAACCAAACAAUCGUCACUAUGCCGAGGUUCAUCCAUCAAAAUUGUGCCCCAAGACCUCAAGAGCAUGUUCCCUCAUCCCAAUCCAAUAUAAACUAAGCUCUAUAAAAUAUUGUGCAACCACUCCAAAUCCCUUUAUACAAAGACCCUUUCCUUCUUAGGUCCACUAACCACGAUACUAGCAUUUUGCCUAGUAUCACUCCUUCCUCUGUGCAGGUUCAUGAACAAACAACUUCAAAAGAAGAUGCAAGGAGAGUGUCUUAUGAAAAUGAGCUUAAAGGACUAACAGAGUGCUUACCAAAGAAUUCCAAGCUUGGAAAGUAUGAUGACAAGUCGAUAAAAGUGUUAGAUAUGAAGAUGAAUACGUUUCAAGAAAGGGAGAAUGAUACAAGCCAAAUUGAUGCCACUCUUUUGGGGUUUAUGCUUUAAGGAUCACACGUAAGGAUCCAAGACUUGGUCGUUCUAGGGAGCAUAUACGUGAUUGGAGGAUAGCUUGGGAAGGAGCUAUAUUUAAUGAUGUCAUUUGAGGGAGUAAGGAGCAACAUCGUAUUUGGAUAAUAGCUUGGACCUCAGAGAAUAUAGGAAUGUGGAUAUUUGGACAUUUGGGUCACUUUUGGGCCCAUAAUCAUGAAUAUUUGACUUUAGGUCCCAAGUAGCAUUUAAGAUCACUUUUGGGCCCAAUUGUAAUAAAUGACUUUGACCUAUAAAUAGUUAGGGCUCUCUUCAUUUUUAGGAAGAUAAUUUUGAAUGAAUGUAUACACUUGACACUGUUUUAUUGAUUUUGAAUUAAUGUAUACACUUGACACUGUUUUAUUGAAGCUUGUUGGGAGCUUUGUGAAUUGUUGAGAAACGUGGGUUGCUCGGAAUUUCAUUCCCGUGAGGUCCUCGUAAGAGGUCGGUGAUUCUGGCAAGUUGAUAGAAAGGUCUUAGGGUUUGAUAUACCCUUUGAUUGUCCUCUCUUUAUCUCUUUGUGUCAAUCUAUUUAUCUUUCCUUUUAUCCUUGUCUUUUUUUGUUUCCAUUGUUUCCUUAUGGUUUGUGUGUUGUCUUUUCUUUCGUAUUUUACUCCUGUAUCAUCUGUGAAAUUGAUACCAACUCACCUUUGAAGACAUAUAUUAGAAUAAAAUAUUGGCAAAAGAGUAAAGAAUUGAAGUGUUUCAGAUAAACACAUCUACAAUAGUUGUCUAGUAACUAGAUUUGCUCUAGAAGUUAGUUCAAUAGUUAUUUGUAGUUUAUAGUGUAAGUUUUAUCCUAUUAUAUUCUCUAUAAUUAUGUAAUUAGGAUUAGUUAUUUAGGUAUAAAAAAUUAGAAUAAAAAUUACUAUGUUUUGGAGUCUGGUCCUCUCCGUAAGGACAACUUUAUUGUUGUAGUUUUGUUUACGAAUCUUGCACGAUUCGUGCACAAACCAUUGCCAGUAAAAUUAUCUUCUUUGUUCUAAUUCUUCAGUUAUUUACUUCUGGUUACUAUCAGAAGUCGUUAAACAUAAGAUAAUUAUCUAAGUCAGAAUAAGGCCCUGACCAUACUAUAAACUAAACUAACCUGAAAAGAAAAUUUAGAUAAAAUUUGCAUUCCGGAGAAUAGAGGGCUCACCAAAACUAAGACUUCUAUAAGUGCUCCUACUUCUACACAGAAUCACAACAAUAUGCCUCGAAACCUACAUCGUAAAAGGAUAGAAUCCUGGAAGGUCAAUAUAUUUGUAUGUAGAACAUGGAAGUAAAAUAUCAUUAUUUACCCUUAUCAAAUCUUGGGCUUCUGAAUAAAGAAAAUGGGGUAUUUGUAUUGGAACUAAAAGGAGGAAUUGCUAUGGAGAAACAACUCUCAAGACUACCAUGGGCUGCGACCUCCUCACUAAUUUACUUGCACACACUAAUGAGUUUAAACAAGAUAACAUUGCGCAUAUAUGUCAAAACAUUUUUUAUGAUUCAAAACAUAUCAAAAUUAUCAUUUUCUUGUGAGUGUCAUGCUCCAUCAUAUCUAAAUUAUCAUCAUCUGCAUUAAACACGUCUCAAAUUUGAAUAAACCAAUUAUUGAUUAUUCUCUUUCCCAGCUAAUGGUCGAGAAAUAAUAGUUCAAAUUAUUUUUGACUAUUAUCUAUUUUUUGUUAGGUUUAAUCAUCCCAUACUAGUGUGUGCUAAUUUUAUUAAUUUGAAAAUCAUUUUUGGUCUAAUUAAAAGAAUAUAUAUAUUUUAAAAUUAAUUAAAGACGUAAUUCAUUGAUAGACAUCUUAAGUUGGAACAAUUGUUUACUUAGACACCUCAAGUAAGCCUUUUAUAUUUUAAACAUCCGUAGUAAGGCUUUGUUGUGUCAUUUUAACACCUUUUGUACAGUUGACAACUCACGUAUUUUCAUCCAUAAAAGACGCGUAAAAGAUUAUUUUUUCAACUUGGAUUCCAACAAACUUUCACUCACUCCCAUUUAUUUCCCAUUUAUUUAUACUUUCUUCUUCAUUACAUCUUAGCACUUCAAUUUAGCUCUAGUUUCAUAAAGAUUUGAUUUUUUUCUCUCUUUUUCUUAAUCUUUUUUCCGCUACUUCAAUUGUGACAAUGUCGAUGUUGUCCAACUCUUCCAUGGCCUAUUUGGAUGAUGAUUUUCGGUAUUUUAGAAGUUCUAAUGAACCAUUAUUGAAGUUAUUUAGGACCCAAUUAAAUUCAUAUUGUCGUUUUUUUAUUUGUAAAAUUUCAAAGGCAAAAUUCUUUUUUUUAACUUCUAGUUAAUUAGGCAGCCUUAUAUUAUUUUUUAAAGUAGUUGAUUAAUUAUUAGCUUUUGAUUGCUUUUGUAGAAAAUGGAUGGUUGUGAUUAUUUUUAUUGGUAUGAAGAUGAACAUCCUCUUUAAGCAAAUAGAGAGUGACAUGGGGUUUCUGAAGAAAGACCACUUUUGAUGAGAAAAUAAAUCUAGCAAGAAAUAUAUUGAUAUUAGUGUCAUUGCUACUGGUCUGGUGAUGUUUGAAAUAUGAAAAAACUUAAUUGUUAGAUGCACUAUAAUAGGUGUCGUGUUCCUAAAGUGUCGGUGUUGAAACGUGGGGGGUACAUCACCACUAAGGGACCAGGUCCCUGAAGUGAAAUAUAUGACAAUAAAGCAGUAAACACACAUAUAUGCAGUAAAUAAAUCAACAUAAUGAUUUUACGUGGAAACUUCCUUGCUCAAUGAACGAAAACCAUGACCUGUACUCACAGGUUCUCAAACUCCACUAUAAUUAAAAUAAAUCUUGAUUACAGAUUCCAUUUGAACUUGACUCCAAGUUUUUGUAAUUUGUAAUAACUCUAUUACUUCACCUCUUGACAACUCUAUCAAAAUCACUCUCAGCACUGAUUAACUCUAACCAACACAAGCUUAGGUAACUCUAUCUAAUAAACUCAAAAGCAAAAAGAAAUCUUUAAUUUUUAUCUUUGAGUAAAUCAAUUACAGGACUUGACUCAAGAACACCUACACUAUGAGAGUAAGAGUCUUUUAAAUUGAGCUUAGAGAGAGUUUUUGUCGCCAUAGUAGAAUUCUUUAAUUUUCAAAAACUAUGGAGGAAAGAGCAUCCUUAUGUAUUUAUAGUAGUAUAGGAUAAAGUGAUCGAAUUUUGAUUAGACCCGGUGUCCAUUCUGGUAUGUUGUGUACCUAUACAACUAUUGCACUAGCAGACAAAACUGUGCAGAGUGUGACAACUAUGUCUGGGCAAAGUAAGUGAGGGACCUGAUCCUCUGAGUUAUCUCAUCAUCAUCAAAACAGUGACACCAAUUUUCUCCCUUUUGAUGAUGGUAAAUCAUGUUUAGAAAGCAUCAAAAUUCAUUCAAUUCUAAAGUAACCAACAUCUACACAUAUAGUAUCCUUUCAGCAACAUUCCUUCACUCUCUCUUAUGAGGCACAUCACAACAGUAUCAAUGUGUGUAUUCCUCCUGUCAAUACUCCCUCUGUCAUCAAUAUCCCCCUAUCACCAACACUCCUACAUUGGUACCUGGCACCUACUAUAGAAAAUUUAAUUUCCCUUUUUGGAAUCAUAAAAAAGUAAGAAUAGUAAACCAAGAUAGUAAUAAACAUAAAUGGGUUAACUUAUGGUCACUGAGGCAACACUAAUAUGAAUGAACAACUUAAGAAAGGAGAAUCAUUUGAUAGACACAAAAUAUGAUUUUUUUCAUUAUAAGCAAGCAGUACCAUACCGUGCAAUAAAAACAACAUUCAAUUCUUGAACUGAAAGAGCCACUAGAAAUAACAAAGGGAAACUGAAAUAAGGAAAAGUUUAAAACAAAGAGAGCUUAGGUAGAUGGAGGUUUGGGAGAGAGGGACUCAAGAAACAUUACCAUCCUAGAAAUAUCUAUAGCAUGAGAGUUUAGCAACUGCUUAGUGAGGUCCUUUACUUUUGCAUUCAAUCCUUGAACCUCCUCUGUGAGUACUGAGACUUUAGUCUUCAAUUCUGCAUUUUCAGCUCUAAGUGCUUCAGCAGUACAUGGUCCCUCACUAGAAUUCUACUGGUUCCUCAUCUUUAUGUAUAGAAUCUUUGCAUCCUUAGCAUCUAAAUUGAUCCUCAUCUCCUUUACCUCUUUGCUUAACUUCUUCUAGGAUGAUAGCAAUUCGGACACCUGGGACAUGGUCCCUACUUUGCCUUCUAUGCACUCAUUUUCAAUUAGGAUAGUCAAGGUGAAUAUCUAUUUUACAUUUUAAGGAGUCUCAUUUUCACCAACUACUUCAAAGUAAUCAAAUACCCUAUUGAAAAAAUAUCCAUAAGGCAUCUUAUAUCUCCUUUUCUAGACAUAGAUAACCUUAUACAUGUGCUCUAUCAUUAAUGUAGGUAGGCUGAUAAGUUCAAACUUACUCAGACACUUGAUCAUAAAAAGAUCAACAACAGAGACUAUUGUCCUCUUCUCAGACUUGGGCAAAACCACCUUAUUCACAAACUCAAAAACUAUCUGAAAUUCACUUUUGAGAAAUUUCUUUAUUACACCAGCCAUAGAUGUUCCCUUUACCUUUGAGGCAUCCAUCAUAAAUUCUGUUGAGGGUUGUUGGUUUGAAAUAGUCCUCAGUCCAACUAUAGGAAAAUCCAGAAUUUUCACCAAGGUUUCUUCAUCCAACUUCAAUUUUUUUUCCUUAAACCAAAGCUGACAGACUCAGCCCAUCAUAAAAAAACUUCAUUGUGUAAUAAAAUUGCCUCACUUUAUUUUCAAAGGAAGAGGGAACUGGUUCCUCUAAAAGGUAAAACAAGCCCUGGUGCCUUACACUACUAAUUCCACCAUUCCAGGCUUCUUAAAGAUCUAGGAAUAAAACACUUUCCCAAUUAAAACCUUCUAAGUUUUUAAUAUGUCAUUUCUUUCCUCUCUAGUCAAACACUUCUCUUCUUUCUCUAUCUUUCUUCUUUUAGAGCCACUCCCAGAUUCUUCUUUAAUAACUUUUUUUUUCUUGGGAUCAGGCCCCCAGUUACUUUCUUCUUCACAAUAAUGUGUUUCUUAGAAGUUGGACUCCUUAUUUUUAUCUGAGAGGACUUGGUCCUCCCUUCACCCUGAACUUCUCUUUUUUUUUUUGUUACAGCAACAACAUCAGAGUUAAUUUCAUUAUCACCCUCUUCAAAUUUAACCACUUCCACAUCUUCAUCUAACACUGCUCCUUUUCUUAAUCCCAUUCUCUUAGUAGUUAAAGAUUUACUUGCCUUCAUGGCAUCUCCCAUCAAUUUUCUCUCAACACCUCUUGCGAGUAAGUCUUGGUCACCAGCUUCCUUCUUUUAGAGCCACUCCCAGAGUCUUCUUUAAUAACUUUUCUUUUCUUGGGAUCAGGCCCCCCAGUUACUUUUUUCUUCACAAUAAUAUGUUUCUUAGGAUUUGGACUCCUUAUUUUUGUUUGAGAAGACCUAGUCCUCCCUUCACCCUGAACUUCUCUUUUCUUUUUUUUGUUGCAGUAGAAAUAUCAGAGUUACUUUUAUCAUCACCCUUUUCAACUUUAACCACUUCCACAUCUGCAUCUAACACUUCUCCUUUUCUCAAUCUUUUUUUCUUGGUAGUUAAAGAUUUACUUGCCUUCAUGGCAUCUCCCAUCAAUUUCCUCUCAAAACCUCUUGUGAGUAAGUCUUGGUCACUAUUAUAUAGUUAACCACUUUUUAUUUACCCUUACUACCUCUUUGUUUUUGCACAAACCACCUCAGAGGCAAGUCAUCCUUAUCAACCCCUCAUCCUUAUUGGGAGGUUGUACAAACAAACUAGUAUGCUCAUCAGCUUUAGGAGAUGUAUCAAAUGAGGGAUAAAUAUUUUCAUCACCCAUAACAGGUUCCUCCAUCCCUAUAGAACUCUCUCUAGGAUUAUUUGACAGCAAUAUUAGAUUCUCAGCAAUCCAAUCCUCUCUAGCCAACUUACUACUAGAGGGGUUGGAUUUUUUGACAGAGAGUUCUUUAUUAAAUAUUUGGGCAAUAAUAGGGUUUGAAUCAUAAGUGGUUGGAGAGCCAGGUUUGUUUAGAGUUUCAGGGUGGUUUACCUUUUCUGGGUUUUCUAAAGGAAUGGGGUUUUGAGGGAACUCGACUUCUAUAGGUGACCCAAAAGCUUUACUUUGGUCAAAAAUUAUAGUAGUUUCAGAGAUGGGUUCUACCAUUUUUGGGGUUUCUUACAUGGUGGAAUCAUCCAUGGAAACUGGUGAGGAAGACGAGUCAACUAAUGGGUUUUCAGUAGAGGGUAUAGAAGAUAAAAUAGGUUUAGAAAUUCAUGUAAUUUUUAAAGUGCACAUGAGUGAUAUUAACCUGUGGGACGGUACUAGGUCUCUCCCUUGCUGGAGUAAAUCUUUUAUAUUGUGUCUGUAUUAUUUGUUCCCCUUCAAAGUGGCUCACCAUACGUGUAUACCUUCAAAGGUAUGGUAUCGAAUUAGAUAAAAAAACACAAAUUCCAUCAAUGAUACCUGUCGCCUAAUCAUAGCCAAUGAUUUGAGAAAAUUGAUUCACGAAGUAGGUGAAUUCAUCUUGAUUAAUCCCAACCUCAGUCUAUUCUUUACAAAUUUCUCCUUGUGAAGAGCCUUUGUGAAAAUAUCAACUAUCUAAUCUUCACUCUUACAAAAUUUCAUGCAAAUGUCUCCUUUUUCAACAUUGCUCUCAGGAAGUGAUGCCUUACAUUAAUAUGUUUUGUCAUUUUAUGUUACUUUAGGUUUUUAGCCAUGUUUAGAGCACCUAUAUUGUUAUAUAUUAAAGGAAUAGUAUCAGAGACAAUCGAAAGUCCUUCAGUUGAUGUAUGAUCCAUAGCGGUUAAGCACAACAAGAAACCGCAAUCAUAAAUUAAGCUUCACCAAUAAACAGUGCAACUGAAUUUUGUUUCUUAGAUCCCCAAAAAAUUAGAGAAGAGCCUAGGAAAUGAGUCAUUCCUAAGGUACUUUUUCUAUCCACUAAGUAUCCAGCAUAAUCAAUAUCAGCAUACCCUAUUAGAUCAAAACUAUCUGUAAACGGAUAAAACAGAACCAGGUCCCAGUCCCUUUCAAAUAUCUGGGAAUUUUCUUGGCUACUUUCACGUGAGACUUCUUUGGACAUGCUUGAAAUCUAGCACCCAUACCUAAAAUAAACACAAUAUUAGGUUUGCUUAUAGUGAGAUAUAGAAAGGGUCCAGUAAUCCCUCUAUACAUAGUCUCAUUAACAGAGGUACCAGGUUCAUCAUUAUCCAUAUUUGUGCUAGUUCUAAUGAGAGUAUCAAUUGGCUUGACAUCUCCCAUGUUGAAUUUCUUCAGUAGCUCCUUGAUGUAUUUGUCUUGACAAAUCAUUUUACCUUGAGAAGUUUGUUUGAUUUCCAGACCUAAGAAGAAGCUCAGUUCACAUAUCAUACUUAAUUCAAACUUACUCCCUAUUAAUUUGAAAAUUUCUUCACACAAAGAUUCAGAAGUUGCUCCAAAAAUUAUGUCAUCAACAUAAAUCUGCACAAUCAAUAAGUUAUUCUCUCUGGAAUUUAGAAAGAGAAUAUUACUAAUUUUUUCUUUUUUAAAACCAUUUUCCAGAAGAAACUUUGACUGUAUCUCAUACCAAUCUUUAGGUGUCUGCUUCAACCCAUAAAGAGCUGUGGGAAAUUGACAUCCUUAAAACCUGGAGGUUGUUUGACAUAAACUUCUUCCUUCAAAUCUCCAUUUAAAAAGGCACUCUUGACAUCUAUUUGGAAGAUUUUGAACCCAUAUAAUCUGCAAAAGAAAUGAGAAUCAUAAUUAUUUCCAUUUUGGCAACAGGAGCAAAGGUCUCAGUCAAUACCUUCUUAUUAAUUAUAUCCUUGAACAAUAAAUCGUGCUUUAUUUCUGCUGAUAGUGUCAUGUUCAUCCUGCUUAUUUCUAUACACCCAUUUUGUCACAAUGAUUUUUUUUUUAACAUGCCUAGGGAUCAGGUGCCAAGCUUUGCUCAUUUCAAAUUACUAAAGUUCUUCCUACAUAACAUUGAUCUAGUUAGCAUCAUUUGGGUAUUCCUUUAUAUUUUUAGGUUUAACAUAUGACAAGAAGGACGAGAAAGCCAUAAAAUUCCUGGAUUGAGCUCCUAUUUGCAUUCUAGAUUCUAAGGAAGAGGUUAAAUUUUCAAGGAGAUAAAAUGAUUUCUGCUUUCAAUUUGAUCUUCUUGAUUGAGGUCUGCUGGGACCAGGUCCUUGAGGAUUUUGAACAUAUUCUUCUUCUAAAUUUGGAUUCAAUAACUGAGGACUUCAUUCACUAACACCUUGUUCAUCAACAAGUGUAUCAUUCUAUUCUUGAACCUCAACUUCAGCUAUACUAUCUCUUUGAAUACGAAUAAGUUAUUCCAUGUCAAAUUUUUCACCUUCAGCAUUUUGCUUUCUUAAUUCAUUAGAGACCACAUGUACACUUUCUUACACACAUAGGGUCUUUUUGUCGAAGCCUCUGUAUGCUUUACUUAUUGAGGAGUAGCCUACAAAUGCAACUUCAUCACUUUUGGAGUCAAAUUUUUGAAUCUCAUUCUUUCCAUUGUUUAGAACAAAGCACUUGUAACCAAAGGUUCUAAAAGAGUCAAGCUUAGACUUUUUACUGAACAUAAGCUCAUAUGGAGUUUUGUUUAAGAUAGAUCUGAUCAAGCAUCUAUUGGUUACAUAACAGGCAGUAUUAAUAACUUCAAAUCCAAAACUUUUAAGAAGACUACUAUCAAUCAGCAUGGUCUUUGUAAUUUCUAUGAGUAUCCCAUUCUUUUUUUGACCACUCCAUUUUGCUGAGGAGUUCUUGGAGAAAAAAAAUUAUUACUAAUGCCAUUUUCAGCACAAAAUUCUUCAACUUUGUCAUUCUCAAACUCAGUUCCACGAUCAAAUCUGAAUCCUACAAUCUUGUUGUUCAGUUUUAUCUUAAUUUGCUUGGCAAAUACCACCAAUACUUUAUAAGUUUCAUCCUUAGCUCUUAGGAACAUGGUCUAAGAUAAUCUAGAAUAGUAAUCCAUAAUAACACACAUAUCUUUUCCCAUCUUUACUUUGAACUUUGAAAGGUCCACAUGGGUCCUUGUGCAAUAAUUUAAGGGGUCUUAUGGUACUUACCUGCUUCUUUUACUUAAAGGAAGAUCUAGUUUGUUUUUCUUUGAUACAAGCAUCACAAACCUUGUUAUUUAAAAACUAUAGCUUUGGAACGCCACGGACCAGGUCAUUUGAUAUUAGUUUGUUAAGUAGAGAAGAGCUUACAUGUCCUAACCUUCUAUGCCACAGAACAACAUUUUCACUUUGAACACUUAAAUAAGUCAAUUCAUUGUCAGCUACUGAGUCUAAGUUAGCCACAUACAUUUUCUCACAUCUUUUAGUUUUGAGUAUAACUUUCCCAGACUUCAAGUUAGACACAUUGCACCCAUCAGAUAAGAACUUCACUUUAUUUUUUUUAUCACAGAUUUAGGACACACUUAGAAAACUAUACUUUAAACCAUUCACAUAAUAAAUAUCCUUAAUAACAUGAUUUAAGUAUUUUCCAAUCUUUCCAACACCAUGGAUAUAGCCUUUCUUUCUAUUUAAAAAAAGACACCUCUACCUUGAAGUACCUUGAAUAAGAGAAAAUAGUUAGUUCUUCCAGUCAUAUGCGUAGAGCAUCCACUAUUCAUGAAUCGGCUUUGACUAUCUUCCCUUGCUCCCACCUAUAUAUAGAGGUUAUGUAAUACCCCAUAUUUGAAAGACACUGUGCAAUAUAUGACUCAUUCUCUUGAGUCAUACCUAUGGCAGUGUGGAGUAGUUAAAGUCUAUUGCAGAUAAGAGUUGACCCUAGAAAUCAUCAAAGCAUGGUACAUAUCGUAUGAAGUGAGGUUGUGAGUUCAGCAGUAUAGGUUCCCUAAGUUUUUAUCCAUGAUACAAGUUGUUUUAAGUCGUAUACACAAUUAAUGAGUCAUGAGUUACUACUCAUAUGUUGACCAGUAUGUUCAAGCUUUGCCACUACUGAGCUUAUGAGUUACUAGUCUAACUCGUACCCUCAUCAUAGUAGUCGUAUGUUUGACUCGUGAUGACUGGCGAUCAAUUUCUGUAAGAUUUAGUUAAAGGGAUUUUUGGUCUUUUUCCCCUCAUAUAAUUCCCAAUCCACGACCUAUAACCCCAAAAAGGCGUUAUUUUCUCUAUCCUUCAAUCAAUUAACAAUAUCUUUUCUCCUCCCAUCUUCAAGAACAACAAGAUUAGGGUUUUCUCACUAAGUCAUCUCUCAAGUCUCAAAGUUCAAGUCUUCUUCAUAAGUUAAGUAAUUCCAGGUAUGUGGGGUUUUGAACAAGGUUAAUCUUCCAUCCUUAUGCCCAAAAACCAUGAUUUUAAGAUUGAAUUUAAAUGUUUUAUAUAAGGGUUCAUCCCUUAAAUUCUCAUGUAUUGAAGUAUACCAUUAUCUUAUGAUUUAUAAGGCUAAAGAUGCAUAAAGGUUACAUCUACUCAUGUUUUGAACUAUAAGUUUGAUGUUAUGAUUUGAGUUUCAUUACUUUGAUUUGGAUUCUAAUGAAAGAUUUCUAUAUGUGUAUUGAACCUAUUUUGUCUCAAAUUUUCUUAAAGAAAGUAUAAGUUUCAGGAUUUAAGAAGAAACAUUAAGUUUAUAAGAAAGUUUAAGUCUUUUGAAGUUCCAUUCAUAUGUAAUAUAGCAUGAUUCAAGAAAGCUUGAUCUUUUGAUCUAAAGAUAAGACAUGAAAUCCACAAAUUGUUCAUCUUGAGUAUGAUUUAAAGUAAAAGAGAAGCAUAAUUAGCUUUCAGUCUAUAAACACUUAUGCUAUUUCAGGUGGAUUUCUUAAGUAUGAGCAUAUAUGUAUUUUAGGAGUAGUAUUUAGCACCAAGAAGGGAAUGAGGAUGAGCGUAUCCUAAAUUCUUGGAAACUAUGAGCCACCGUAGGUUAAGAUUUUUCUCAAUAUGGAUGAAAUAUAGUGAUGACUUAAGUUAAGGUUCUAUUCUGAUGGCAAGGGUAGAAUAAAUCUCCCCAAAGUGUGUAAGACGUUGGACUCCAUGGUAGCUUACAUGGUUUAUGUCGGUUAGGAGAAUCUCCCACAAGAAAUAAUAAAAGUAAAGAUUUUAGAAACUAAGUGAUGUGGCUCACUAAGAUUGUCCAUAUUCUUCAUUAUCCAUGUUUUAUGAUCUUGUAGUCUUUAUUUUUAUUAAAGUACAAGGUGAGUCAUUUACGCUUAGUAGGAAUUAUUUGAAAAGUUUACAUAUAUAUAUAUAUAUAUAUAACUCUUGUUUUAUUUAUGCAAUCACCCCCACAUACUCGGUACAUUCCAGAAAUACUGACCCCUAUAUACAUCUAUGUGCUACAUUGUCUUAUAAUAUAGGUUCAGGUGUGUCACGCCUCAAAUCUUAGUGAGGCGGACUGGCACUCGUAACCGAGGAGGCCCGGGAGAAUCAGCUCAUAACCUUAUACUUCCCAUGCAUACCUCUAUGACAACCUGAAAUUCGGACAGCAUCAUGUCACAUAUAAAAGGAAAUAAUCACCUGAUAAGCUCUAGCAAACAUAUAUAUGUAUAUAUAAUACUUGGCCGUUGGAGCCAUCACGUCUAUUAACAAAACACCACCUUGACUGUACAUUAGGUCUACAAAGCCUCUAGACAAUACACAGAGUUUAACUAAGGUCGGGACACACCCCGCCAUAUAACUAACUUCUAUACAAUACCAAAAGUGACUGGAUAUGACACGAAAAGUCCCAAAGCAAACUGGAGCUCACCAAAAGCAGCUGGAUAUCCUAACUCCUACUUGUGCGGUGUAUGAGCUGAGGUACCUGUGCCUGCAGCAUGAAAUGCAGGUCCCCCGUGAGGGACGUCAGUACGAAAUAUGUACUGAGUAUGUAAAGCUGUAGAUAAUCACAUAUGAUAUAGGAGCUCAAUAGAAAGCAAAAACAAGUGACUAAAUCGUAAUAGGAGUGGACCACACUUACUAGAACUUGUGACAACCUAUACAUUGUAUUUAUUCAAUCACUUUACCGUCGUUCUUAUCAUCUUUGUAAUCAUUACUGUACUGUACUGUGACCAUUAGGAUGCCUCCAGUACAUAUCAACUGGGAUCGACCCAUGCUAGGCUUAUGCCCCUGAGAUACCACCCAUAAACACAUAAAUAAGGAUCGACCCAUGAUAAGCUUAUGCCCCUGGAAUACCACCCGAUAAGAGAGAACUUUCAUCACUUAGUUCAAUUAAUCUUUGAGAUUGUUAUUUCGGUCGUCACCACAUUUUUGAUACUUUGAAACAGUGAUACAUCAAUAGGAACCAAGUAAUAGACCUUCUAUACAAUAACGAUAUAAUAAAGACUCAUUGGUACAUCAACAAUGUGUUUCAGAAUCAUCAAUAUCACAACAAUGAAAUAGGAGUCUUUUGGUAUAUCAAUGAAACAUUUUGACACUUUAUAGAAUGGAAACAACUUCGUUGGUAACGUAGAACAAUACAUGUUUUUGGACAACCUCGGAAUCUUACUUGAUGGAACAUUGGUGUUUUCAUGCCAAAGAACAUUGUUAGAGUAUGCUUUACAUACCUCGUUGUAGAUUCAGAUACCAAUUCAACACAACUUCCCGCCUUUACAAAUCACUUAUCUACAAUGAAAUGUUUGGCAUCUAGUAUUAGCAACCCAACACCACAAUUCUCUUCCAUAAUUCCAUACUACCAAUAUUUGCAAAACAUUCCAAAAACCAACUUGAACAAUAGGUUUAUGUGUGUAUAUAUAUAUAAUCAUCAUUUCAAUACCACAUCAUCAAUACUACAUCAUCACCCCAAAUUCCUUCACAAUUUAAC
RNAcentral lists this long non-coding RNA (58900 nucleotides) under Capsicum annuum. RNAcentral's name for it is "long non-coding RNA (CANN_LNC012310)". The stretch from base 20639 to 20744 matches the Rfam family "Plant small nucleolar RNA R71". Lineage: Eukaryota; Viridiplantae; Streptophyta; Magnoliopsida; Solanales; Solanaceae. The record is from RNAcentral.